CGAAAUGAAACUCUAUUCUUUAAUUGUUCGGCUAUAAAUUCUGCGAGAAUAUUAGGGUGUCCAUAAGGGUUUCCUAUUCUUGUAAUAGCAAUGUUGAGUUUUCGGUUCCCAGAAUUGAAUUCUUUUUGUACAUUAAUCUGUAAUUCUUCGAUUUUUCGAGACCCAUCGUCUAUUACUAACUUUGGGAAUCCCAUAAAGAUUAUCACUUGAAUAAGAUCAAUUCUUUUUUGAAUCUCGAUACGUGCAAUUCCUUCAACACCAGAAAAAAUUCUCAUGUCCUAAAAAAAUCUAUUUUGGAUCAGAAACAAAAUAAAGUUGUUUACUUAUUUUACAUACAAAAUUUAUUAUUAUUACUUUUGUUGUUGUACAUAGAAACGUGUUGAAGUUUUUUUAAAAAAUAAUUUUAAAAUUAAUAAUAAAUUUAAGAUUAGUUUAAAUUAUUUAAGGAAUUAUCUUAUAAACUUGUUGAAUCCAUAAAAUUUUAGUUUUAUUUGAAUUCAAUCAAAUAAAAAAGAAAUGAUUUUUUAUUACUCAUUUAAAACUACACAAAUUAAAUAGAAUUGGAUCAAAUUUGGUGUGUUAUGAGUAUUUGUAUGUUUUUAUUUAUUUAGUUUGAUCAGUGUCUAUAGUUGGAUUUAUUUAUUUCUACUAUAAUCAUUCCCGAAGGUGGAACAAACCACAAUGGAUCUCACGCACCCACUUACAAACUUGUAAUCAUCAUGUUUGCUUUUCAUUAUUAUUGUUGUUAAUAUUUCAUAUACCCUUUUUCCAUUAAGUUCAUACUUUUAUUUUUAACAAAUUUUAACUUUUCCUUCCCCUCUAUUUUAACAAUUUUGAUUAUAUAAUCGAGUUUAAUGUUUUCUCAUACAUAAAUUAAAUUAAAUGACCAUUUUUUAAAAUAGCAAAAAAAAUUUAUUCUUAAUUCAUACACUUCUAUCACUGUCUUUAAUGUCACUGAUGAAAAGAUAUCAAUGUCUAUCAAAUAUUUGUUAUUGAUACAAUAUGAAAUUUGGUUAUAACUUGUAAAUGUUUUGUCAAAUUUGUUAUUUUUUACAAUUUUUCUAAAUUAAACUUUCCAUAUUAAAUAUUUAAUUUAUAUAAGAAUGGAUGAUUUACAUCAAUGUAACAAAACUACAAAAUAUUUAUAGUCUGUUUAACAAAACAAUUAUAGCGCAUAAAACCACCACUGUUUUUCCAUAAAUUUCAUAUUUACUCUGUGUUGUUUUUUAAUAUUGUGGGACGAUUCUUCCCCUCACUUCUUUUUCUUCUUCACUGCGAUUUAUUUUUCUCCUCUUCAUAUUAUUAAUUUCUUCGUAUUCUCACUUCUUUUUGUUUAUGGUUUCUUCAUUACAUCUUACGGACUUUCUUCCUUCUUCUUCAUCUCUCGUCUUUUUUUUUUUUAUUCUUGGUACAAGAUCUAAACGAUAUUGGUUCAUGAUCUAAACAAUCGUGUACCAAUAUCUAAACGAUCAGUUUUUUUAUCCCAAAUAGAUUGAAAUAGAUUUACUAUCACUGAUAGAUCGUUUAGAUUUGGUACAAGAUCGUAUAGAUUGUGUACAAGGGUAUAAGAUCGUUUAGACAGAGUACAAGGAUAUAGUUUCAUUUAAAUUGGAUACAAAGGUAUAAGAUCAUAUAACAAGAUAGUUUAGAUUUUCUACAACAUCGUUUAGACUAGGUACAUGGUUAUAAGACACAAGAUUGUUUAGACUAGGUAUAAGAUCAUUUAGACUAAGUAUAAGAUCAUUUAGACUAGGUAUAAGGGUGCAUGAUUGUGUACCAAGAUCGUUUGAAUUUAGUAUAAAAUCAUUUAGACUGCAUGCAAGGGUACAAGAUCGUUUAGACUCGGUACAAGGGUACAAGAUCGUUUAUACUGAAUGUACAAGAUUGCUUACACUUGGUACAAAAUCAUUUUUUCACAUGUGUGACCGAUUAAUCGUGGGAUAUUUUUUAUAUUUCACAUUAUUGGCUUGUUGGCUUUUCUCUUUGUCAAAAUUGUUCUCUACGGUAUAAAUAUUUGUUCUCUUUUUAAAAAAAUCUCUUUAAGAAAUGCGUAAAAUAGUUAUUUGUUUAAUUUAAUAUCAUUUUUUUAAAACUAUUCUCUUUCUAAGAAAUUAAAAACAAAAAAUUAAAAAAAUAGUCAUUAGUUUUGUAAUAUUUGUAUUUCUAUCCAUGUUUGGUAGGAAAAUUGUAAAUUGUUUUCAAACAAUUCAUAAAACAUUUAUGUUUCUAUAGUGUUUUUUGUGAUGUAUAAAUAUUUUGGUUUUUGGAUAAUUUGCAUAAAUGUAACAAAAUCUAAAAAUAUUUACCGUUUACGAACAAAAAAUUAGUGCUCAUGAAGCCACCAUUUUUUUUUCAUGAAUUCCAUAUGCACUCUUUGUUGUUUUUAGUAUUGUGUGACCAUUCUUCAUUUCAUUUCGCUUCUUUUUCUCCUCUUUAUAUUAUUAAUUUUUGCAUAUUAUUACUUCUCCUUCAUAUUCUCACUUAUUCUUAUUUGUGAUUUCUUCAUUUCCUCUUCUAGAAUUUCUUCCUUCUUUUUAUCUCUCAUCUCCUGUUUUCUUCUUGGUACAAGAUCUAAACGAUAUUGGUACAGGAUCUAAUUGAUCGUGUAUCAAUAUCUAAAUGAUUAGUUGUUUAUCCUAGAUAAAUAGAGAUAAUAUACCACUAUAUCGCUAAUAGAUCAUUUAAAUUUGGUACAAAAUCGUUUAUAUUGGAUACAAGAUUGUUUAGACUGGGUACAAGGUUAUAAAAUCGUUUAGACUGGGUACUACAAAGGGACAAGAUCGUUUAGACUUGGUAUAAGGGCACAAGAUCGUGUACUAAUUAAAUCAUUGAGACUGGGUACAAGAUCGUUUAGACUAGGUAAGAGUGUACAUGAUUGUUUAGAUUGGGUACAAGAGACGUACAAGAUCGUUUAGACUUGGUACAAAAUAGUUUUUUCAUUCAUGUGUAACGAUUAACCACAAGGUGUUUUUUAUUUCACGUUGAAGACUUGUGGACUCUUUCCUUCUUUAAAAUUGUUCUAUACGCGGUAAAUAUUUUCAUGCGUUAUUCUAUUUUUAAAUAAGUCAUUUGUUUCUUCCUUUUGAAAAAAAUCAUAUUUUAUAUAAUUAAUGUUUGAAUAUUUUCGUUAAUGCAUAGAUGUUUUAAACUUCUACUAAAUUGAGUUUGGUAUUUUAGAUGUAGUAUUAAAAUGGUUAAUUUUCAUAAAUGUAACAAAACACACAAAUAUUUACGGUAUGUGUAACAAAAAGCAAAAGCCAUGAAGUCGGUACAAUAUUUUCAUAAUUUUCAGAUUUUUUCUUGAAUGUUGUGGAUGAUUCGUCAUUUUUCUUUCUUCCUCUUCUUUGCGAUUUAUUCAUCUCUUCUUUUUCCAAAUUUCUUCAUCUCUUCUUCAAGAUUUUCUUUCUUCUAUUUUUAAAAAAUUUAUUAUUCUGUUUAAAUCUCUUAUUUUAUCUUCACCAUUUUCGGUAAGAUUCUUUGAAGCUACUUCAUCUUCCUCAUAUUCAAGAAUACCAAGAUCGUCGUUUAAAUAUCAUUUUGACACUAUCUAAAAGGUUGUUUACUAUAAUCAACAUGAUCGUUUAAAUUUAAAGCUCUUUUUCCAUCUUUUAAAAAGAACUACACGAUCGUGUUGAUAUGAUCUAAACAAUCACUUACCAUAGUCAACAACCUGUUUAGCAUGGUCAACACGAUCGUUUAGAUUUGGAGCCCUUUUUCAUAUCGUUUAAAAAGAACUACAGAAUCGUGUGACUAUGAUCUAAACGAUCGCUUACCAUAGUCAACACAAUCGUUUAGCAUGGUCAACACACAAUUGUUUAAAAUUAAAGUCUUUUUUCCAUUGUUAAAAACUACACGUACGAUCGUGUAUUAUAAACGAUCGUUGAUCAUUCGUUUAAACUGUAAUACACGAUCGUUUAGAAGAAAAUUACUCACAUGCACGUAUGGUCAAUUAAUCGCGUGCUUGACUGGAGUAUGUAUGGUAUUUAUCACUAUAACCCUUGGACUUUCUUAGUUUUUGAAAUUGUUAUAGAAUGUAAAUAUUUUACCGGUUCGUUAUAUAUUUUUUAAAAAACCUAUUAAAAUUUUGCGUUUACCAAAAAUAAUAAGUAUAUAUGGAUGGUUAAAUUUUGAUGAUGAAGUAGGGUUUUCCACAUCAGAAGUAUUUUUUAACAGAAGAAGAAGAGGGAGAAUAAUAUAAUUAAGUUUGUAUAUAGUAAAAAAGAUUUCACAUUAAACCUUAUAAAAAUUAGAAACAACCCAUUGGUCUUUGUCACAUGAAGCAUCGAGGUUUUGGAACCUUACAGUUGGGUAACUCUUCAAGAAAAUGAAUAAAAAUAACCCCAAAAUGUGACAUACCACAUGGUCCAACCUUACAAGUGGAGAUAAAGAUUAAAAUAUAAUAACAAACGUUGAAGUUAUUUUUGUUAUAAACAAAUAUUCAAAAGCUUCAAGUUGUCAAGUUGUUGUUCUUUAGAAGCAAUCUUACGAACAAAUAAAAUAAAUUAACAAACUCAUUUCAAAAAUAUAACAAACAACUUAAAUAUCUACGCUACAUAAAAUAAUUUUAAAAAUGGAAAAAAUCCAUUAACUUACUAUCAAAAAGAUAAAAAAAAAAUGUCUAUAACUAAUUCACAUUCAAAGCGUGUAAUAUAUUUGAAAAAUGAUCGUUUAGAUUUCUCUAUUUUUUCCUACACUAUCGUUUAAAUUUGAUCGGUCAAAUCUAAACGAUAUUUUUUUUCAAGUUUAUUUGGUACACAAUCAUUUAGAUUUAAUCGUUUAAAUUUGGGUAGUCAAAUCUAAACAAUUUUUCACUAUUUUGGUACACAAACGAUUAUAUUUGGUAUAUGAUCGUUUACAUUUGAUCGGAGUAGCUAAAUUUCAACGAUUUUUUUAAAAAUAUUUUUUAGUAUACAAUCAUUUAGAUUAUGUUCAAGAUCAUUUAUAUUUAAUACAUGAUCGUUUAGAUUUGAUAGUUUAAAUUUGACUACGCAAAUUUAAGCGAUUUUUUUUAAAGACUAUUUGGUACACAAUCGUUUACAUUUUACUAUUCUUUUUUACACGAUUGUUUGUAUUUGGGAGCCAAAUCUGAAAGACUUUUUUUUUUCUUCAAGAUCUUUUAUAUUUGGUAGACAAUCUUGAUCAACCAACAUUUUGAAAAAAAAAUAGAAAAAUAGUCUAUCGAGAAAAAAAAAAAAGAAUUAUCUACUAAAUAUAAAAAGAUCAUACUUAAACCUAAUCGGCCAAAUAAAUUAUAUUGUAAUGAUAAACUAAGCUACAUACAAAUUUUAUUAUUGAAAGGUGUGGAGGAGGAAAUAGAGUAGGGUUUGUUUGGUAAUGUUUAGGAUACUUUUCUUUUCUCUUUUUUCUCUUUUGUCUCAGGUGACUCUCUCUCUCUUUUUAUAUGUUAACAAAACUACAUUCCAUAGCUAUUACUUAUUUUUGUGCUAUCUUUCCUCUUUUUACUAUAACAUUAUAAUUAAUUAAUUAAUUACCUUCCUACUUUUUGUAUUCGUGCUUCUUUGAUAUCUUAAUAAAAAAAAAUAUAAAUAUAAAAAUAACAUUUUUAAAAAUAACAAAAUAAAUUAAAAUAUUUACUACACUUUUAAGCUAGAAUUGAUAGAAUAGAUUGAAAUAUUGGUUGAGUUGAAUUGGAUGGGAAGAGAGGGGGGAGGGAGAGAAAUAAGAUGGAGACAAAAGGUUGAGUUUUCACAUGGGGAUUGGGCAUGUGAUGUGAGUGUCACUUUACAUUUACAUUUUGUGUCUGUCUACCAUGUGGAUUAACCUCCUUAUUCAUCUGGCGCCAGCUCACCCACCCCACCAAAACUUCAUUCUCUCUCUUAUUACAAACUCUUUUUUUCUUCCUUCUACUCAUAUUUGCUAUCUGCGUAUAUACUCUAAUGCCUCAACAAACAAAAAAAAAUUAAGAUAAUUAUUUUAUUUUUAUUUAAUUAAAAUUAACUUAUUCGUCCUUAAUUAAAUAUUUGUUGGAUGAAUAUUUAAUUAAUUAAAUAAUUUGAAUUUGGAGUGUUUGUUGAGAAUUUAGUUUAAUUGUAUGUUACGAGAUUUAGGUGAAGUUGGAAAAAUUAUUUGGCUUUAUGAAAAUUAAAAUUUAUUAAAUAGUUUGAAUGUUAGUCGAUGUGAAAAUUUUGGUUAGAGAUUUGAUUCAUUAUAUAUAUAUAUAGAUAACUAUUAUGAAAAAUAGUAAAGAAAAUUCUACUUAUGAAAAAUUAAUUCUUAUUAACGAUAAUAUUAUAGAUAAUUUGUCCAAGAUAAAACAUAUGACAAACCGUAAGAACGAUUAAGACAUAUGACAGACAAGCAGUCUUUUUAUAUAUUUUCACAUUGUAUCAAUGUAAACAGUUUUAGUUUUCCUUUAACUAAUUUUCAAUUAUAAACAAUUACUAAAAAUACAAUUGUAAAUUUUCAUAAGAAAUCAUAUGAAUAUAUUUAUAUAGUUUUUACUUUGAUACACUUUUCUAUCUACACGUAACUCUCAAUUAGAAAAUUAGCUUGGUGAAACAAAUGUCGGUAGAUAUAUUUAUUAAUACUCUACUCCAGAUAGUAUGAAGUUCAAGACAUUUUGAUGCUCGACUUAGAUAAUAUACAUUAUUUGAAGAUUAACAACCUUGAGUUUAGGUGUGAUUUCUAAAUUUCUUAUUUUUAUUUUUAUUAUUUUUCUUUAAUUUGUUAAAGAAAAUAUUUGAUUUGGGAAUAGUAAAAAUAAAUUGGUGUUAGGUUAAAUGCUUAACAUUCAACCAUCUAAAAAACAAAUUGAUUUUUUUUAAUCUUAAACAUAGAAUCUAUUUUUGUUAAGAUUGCAUAAUUGACACAUGGUCAUAACUUUUUUGCAUUUACAAACACAUCCUAUAUAACGACCCAACUUUUCUAACUAAUUGAAGUCAUUACUUUAAUAUGAGACACAUCCUUUAAAUAUAAGACUUUAUAAAAUUAAAUAAAAAAUAAAUCAACAAAUAUUGAAGAGCAUAUGGCUUGAUUCAGCAGCAUCACGACGUUCGAUGUGAUUCUUGAGAGAUGCAAUCUUAUUAUCCUUUUCUUCAACAACCUUCAUGAACAUGUUGAUCUUUUUUUCAAGCUCAGUCAUUAUGUCUUCACUUGUAUCCACGCCAGUCGCCAUAACCAACAUGAUAUUUAAAUGAGGAGUCUCCUCAUUCAAGCGUUCACAGGAGAAAAUUUGUUCGUCAAUCGCAGGAUUUUCUUUGAUUAUAAUUCCUCCUUUUGAUGGCUUGGACAGUUGUUCCCAAAUGUUCUUUGUGACCUCAAAGGAUGAUAUUUUCUCAGAUGAUUGAGUCUCCCUUGAGCGGCUGCGAGUAUUUGGCUGCUUACUGAUGUCACUUGGAGCUUUGAAAGUGUUGCCUUGGGAUGUCAUGAUUUCUUUCGAUGAUCUUCAAAAGAGGAAGAGAUAAAAGGUAGAGAUUGUCCAACUGGGCGUGCCAAACUGUUCACACGAGAUUUGGAAGAAAUGUAAUUCGUAGAAUUGAACUUUGAUACAUUGAUGAAUAUUGUGAAUACAAUCUGUUCACACGAGAUUUCGAAGAAAAUGUAUUUCGUAGAAUUGAACUUUGAUAUAUUGAUUGAUAUAGUGGAUACAAUCUCUAGUAUUUACUCAUUUGAUAUUUUCUCUCGAAUUCAAGUUAAAACUUAGAACUUCUUUAUCUUCAAUCUUUAGGAUGUUGUAGUUACAAGUCGAUUUGAACUUCGAUCUUCUGGAAACCAAGGAAAGUUUAAUCUUCCAAGUCUUCAAUCUUUCAGAAGUUGUUGAUCUCGAGGUUGAUACGAACUUGCACGUCUUAAGAGCUUGUAGAAGUUUGAAUUUUCAAUUCUUCAGAGCUUCAGAGCUUCGAUUCUUCCUAUAACCAAAGACUCUCUCAAAUGAAUCGCAAAGGUCUCUAUUUAUAGAGAAAUUUUAUGGGCUUUAGGUGGGCUUGGGCACAUUUGCUUGUUAGGGUUGGACUUAUACCAAUUUACUUGUUGGGCUUAGAUUUGGGUUUGGGUUGAGUAAACAUAAUUAUCAAAAUCCAAUAAAAAUAUAAUUAUCAAAUAUUUGUUGUGAUGAUAUGGCAAAAUUUAAUUGGCCGAAAUUUCUUGCUCAACACAAUCUCUAGUAUUUACUCAUUUGAUGUUUUGCCUCGAAUACAAGUUAAAAACUUAAAACUUCUUGGUCUUCGGGCUUCAGAAUGUUUUAGCUGCAAGUCGAUUUAAACUUUGAUCUUUUGGAAUCCAAGGAAAGCUUAAUCUUCCAAGUCUUCAAUCUUUCAAAAGUUGUUGAUCUCGAUGAUGGUACAAACUUGCAUAUCUUGAGAGCUUGUAGAAGUUUGAAUCUUCAACUCUUCAGAGCUUCAAUUCUUCUUUCAGCCAAAGACUCUUUAAAUGAGUGGCAAAGGUUUCUAUUUAUAGAGAAACUUCAUGGGUUUUAGGUUGGUUUGGGCUUGGGUCCAUUUGUUUGUUGGGCUUGAACUUGGGCCCAUUUGCGUGUUGAGCUUGAGCUUAGACUUGGACACAUUUCUUGUUGGGCUCGGGCCCCCUUGUUUGGUCCGAUUUUUCAUCAUGGGCUUGCAUUGAGUUGGAUAUGAAAAAACUUGACUACUCAAAAUCCAAUCAAAUUAUGAUCAUCACAAUUUUGAUGACGUGGUAGAAUUAAAUUGACUGAAUUUUUUUGUUCAACAAUGAGUGUUGAUUGCUUGUGGUUGUAGUUGAGAAUAGGAGUGGAGCUGAGGCAUUUUGGCGACGAAAAUGAUUACUUCUUGUCAAAAAGUGUAUUGAACAACUCUCCAUUUCUCUCCUUCUUUCUCAUCUCUCCUUCUUCAACCAUUAUCUUCUCUUAUUCAUAUGCUUCAAACAAUAUAGAGAUAAUGAUAAUAACAAGAGUAAAAGUGUCAAAAUUCGUACUUUUACCGUUGGAAUAGUAACAAUAAAUUUGAAAGUAACAAUGCAAUAAAAAUUUUAGAUGUAAUUGAAUUAAACAUACUCUACUCUUCAUUCCGUUCAAGUUUUUCUAUGGUAGGUUUUGGAAGUUCAUAUUGAUGCAAAACACAAGUAAAAUAACACAAAAAAUAAUCAAAUUAGACACACUUUUCACGUUAACAUUAGUUUGUUACAUUAAAUAAUGAGAUAAGUGCGACCUAUAAAUUCAAAAUAUUAGCAGAUAUAACAUUGUAAAUUUUUUUUAUAAAUACAACAAAAUUUAGAUCAAUUUUACAUCUACAAUGAUAGACUAUAUUGCUAACUGGGAGUCUCUACCAGUGAAAAAGACGAUCACACUGACAAAAGUAUAUCAUCGAUAAAGUCUAUGGUUGAUUUUCAAUUCAUUAAAAAUGUUGUUAUACAAUUAAUUAUUCUUAAUAUUGUUAUCUAUCACGAUUAUUUUGAUUUAUUUAAAUAAUAAAAAGUUUCCCAUUUAUAUAUAUAUAUAUUCGCAAAUUCCUUGGAUGGCACCAUAAAUUUACCAAUUAAUGACCGGACUAAGUUAAUUUAAAGAGAAAGAGAAGCUUGACAUAGGAUGAAGAUUUUGAACAAUGCGAGGACUGUUUCUUAAUGACCUUUCAGAUUACACUGAGUACCUUAACAAUGCUUGUAUUUAUUUUAAAAGAAGAUUGAAUUUGAGCUUGACUAUUUUGUCCAUAAGUUAAUAUUUUUAGUUACAUAUUAAAUGUUGUUUUUUUGUCUAUAUUAUAUAUAUAUAGUUCAACUAUCAAUGAGAUGACAUCACGUGAAAAGAAGGCUUUCCCGUCAAGGUUUAUUCUACAGUCAGAAAUUCACAACCAUUUUAAUGAUUCUUCCUUUUAUUUAAUUACGUAAGCAACCUUGUGACACUAUAUAUAUAUAUGUAUGUGUGUGUAUAGAUAUAAUAUUGGAUAACUUACGUAAAUAUAGUAAAACCGUAAAUAGUUUUUGGUAUGAGAGUAGAAGAUCAUGUAUAGGUAUAGUUCGUGUUCAAUAUGUCGUAACAAAAAGUUAAAGCCUAUGAAACCACAAUUGUUUUUUCAUGAAUUACAAACUUGUCAUUUGUUAGUUUUGCAUAUUACGGAACCAUUCUUCACUUCACUUCAUUUUCUUCUUUUUUUACAAUUUACUCUUCUCUUCUUCAUACUUCUUCUACUUCAUAUUUCCACUUCUUUUUGUUUGUGAUUUCUUUAUCUUCUCUCACCUAAUUUCUUCUUUCUUCUUCAUAGCUCAUCUUCUUUUUUUUCUUCUUGGUACAAUAUCUAAACAAUAUUGCUACAAGAUCUAAACGAUUGUGUAACAAUGUAUAAACGAUAAGUUAUCAAUCCCAAAUAUACAGAGAUAGACCAUUAUCACUAAUAAAUUAUUUAGUUUUGAUACAAGAUCGUUUAGACUGAGUAUAACGGUACAAGAUCAUGUAGCAAGAUCAUUUAGAUUUUAUACAAGAUCGUUUAGACUAGGUACAAGAUCGUUUAAGUUUAGUACAAGGGUACAAGAUCGUUUUUUCAAGUGUAUGCGAUCGGUUAAUCGUAGAGUAUUUUUGUUAUUUCACCUUAUGAGCUUGUGAGUUUUUUCCUUUUUCAAAAUUGUUUGUAAAUAUUUUUGCGUUUUGUUCUUUUUUUACACGGUAUAAAACAAUGUGAAAUAACAAAAAUACCCCCACGAUUAAUCAAUCACAUACACAUGAAAAAUUAUUUUGCACUCCGUCUAAAAUGAAAAUAAGUGAGAUGAUCAACUAUAUCCUCCAACUAUAACAAAAGUAAAUAACUGAGAGAAUAGCUAAAGAAACACAAAGAACAAAUAACACAAAAAUUUAAUCAAAGACAGGCUCCCCUUGAAUUUGUGUCUGAAUCUUCUUGAAAAUAAACUUCCUGAAUUCAUUGAUCGCAGUUCAACUAUUUCAGUCUUCUUUCAUAUUUCUUAUCUACAUGUGCAACGUAAAUUCCACUUGCAAAACUUCGGUAAUCCAUCUUCAUAAAGAAGACAAUUCAACUACCUUCACAAAUAAUAAUUCUUCAAGAGAGAACUUCUCCGAAAUCAAUUUUUCAUCCAUGCACACGCUGAACUAAGCCAAUAGCUUAACUAUUUAAAAAUCACGAUAAUAUUCUCCUGUAACUUCUUUAUGCAAUGAUAUAGAUAAAAGAAUUCUAUUAUGAACGAAAAUCUUUUGUCUUUAAAUAAUAUCCUUUAUUUAAAUAACCAUAAAAAGAAAAUUAUUAUUUCUUUUUUACAAAAAUACUCAACAUAAACGAUCUCGUAUGUAGUCUAAACGUUCUCGUAGCAAGUGAUCUAAAUCAUUUAUUUAUACUACUCUUUAACCUGAACUAGUCAUUCUCAAAUCUUUGUCCAAUUGUCAGCUCCUACUUAAAACUUUCCACGUAUAAAAUUAAUCUUUAUCUUAGUCAUGCUUAAAUCCUUAAUCUUACGCAUUAACUCUUGUCAAAUAAAAUUUGACAUCUUCUCGUCAAACUUUUCUUCUCGUCUAACUCCAUAUCACAAAAAGCUUUAACCGCUUAACAUAAUUUUUUAAGGUCCUAAUACAAUAACUACUUAUGUAGACUACCCACCUUUUCUCACGAAGACUCUUUCUCUUGUGAGCGUUUAGACUUAUAGGUCUUAUCGCAAAUCCUUCUUUUCUCAAAACUUCCUCGCGAACUAACUUCUUAAUCGCAAAACGUAUACUUAACUAUAUAAAAUUUUAUCACUUAAUCCUUUCCACAGAUAGAUUCAAAAUCCAACUUCUUAUCCAAAUCGCAAAAUCAAAACAUUUAGCCAAAUUAUACUUCCUAUACUCAAAUUAGAAAUAGGUCAAAAAAGAAAUAAAAUAAGAACUAAACAUGAACAAUCAUCCAAACCAUAAAAUUAUUAUAGAUUAAUAGCAAUUUUUACCAAACAAUCAUUUUGUAAACAUAAUAAGUAAAACUAAAACGUGUUAAUAGGCAUAAAAGAAUAUGCUCUCAAACAUUUAAACGAUGCAUAAUGUUUACAUAAAAUAUUUUAUACGAUGUUCAAAAUUACAAAACAAAAGAGAAUAUUAUAGCCCUACCUUUUGAAAAUGAUCAAAGUGUAGAAAAUCGUGCUAAUAACGUAUUAUGAAAUAUGAACAAUCAUACUAAACAAGAACAACAAAGCAACACAAAAAUAGAAUAGAUAAGAGAGAAAGUAUAGAAAACAAUUGAACUCAAGUGUGAUAUAUUGUCUAACAAAUGCACUACAUACUAUUUAUAGGACAUGUCGUUGUAUAUGUUACAAUAUGAAAUUCAAUAAGAUGAAUGUUAGAACAUGGAAUUGAAGGAGAGUAAUAUGACAAUUGGUAACUUAUGUAAGCCGUGGAUAUCUACACAUUUAUAAUAUUUUAUGGAGUGUUUGCAAAAGUAGCAAAAAAAAAUUAUGAUAAUAGAGUUCAUGUCACUACAUUUUCUAAAUUCCAAAAGUAGAUAACUCUUUGAUAGUCUCUUGAUAACUUUCUGAUAACCCUUUAAUAUAUCUAAUUACUUGUUAUAUUUGUUAUAUUUGCAAUAAACAAAAAAGAGGCGUUUGUGGAGUUGUUUUUUUCUAAAUUUUUGUUGGUUAUGUGAUGCAAUUUCUCAUAUUUUAUUACAUUUACAAUAUUGUUCAAUUUUAUCAUUUAUUUGUCUCUAAUUUUCUGUGUCAAGAGUUCUUAUAAUGUUUUCCACUAAUUUUAUUCUAUUUUUAUAAAAAGAAACAAAUUAUUCCCACCUUUUUCCUCUCCAAUGGUUUUGAACUUUCUUUCUCUUGUUUUUCUGGUGAUCGAACAUUUUGCACUUGAUUUUUCACUCAAAUAUGGAGGAUUCAAACGAAUACUUUUUGUUGUUAACUCAUUAGUUUAUGAUUCUUUUUCGUCGGUAUUGGUUAUUGUUAACAAAAUGCGUAGAUAUGAUCACAUAAUUUGGAGGAUUUAAGUUGAUCGAUUAUGUUUUUAACUUUUCUGUUUCUUAGUCUUUAAUUAUUUUCCUAUCUCUAUAACUUCAUUUCUCUGUUUCUCUACAUUCCAAUUUUUGUUUUCCCAAUUAAAUUUCUCUCAAUAUUUCUCCAAUGACUUUAACAUGUUUUUUCUUUUCUUAGCUCUCUAUUUUUUUUUCUCCCUUAAAACUUUCAUCUUUCUAUAUAAUUUAGAACAGUGUUGUUUUAACAUAAAACACUUUUGCUCCUCAAAUUUUCAAAAUUACAUCCCAAUCAUGAAACAAAAUACAAUUGAAAAAGUGCUUUUUCAACCUUUCAAAUGUCAUACCAAAUUACCCUUAAUUAUUUAAAGGAACACCUUUCUUUUCUUCUUCUUUUACUAUUCUUAAAAGUAAUAUAAAAAAGAUUAUUUAUGAAGAUUACUACGUGAAGGUUACUACUUAAAUUAAAAGUCUGUUUGUGUGUGUGUGUGUGUGGGAGGGAAAGAAAGAGUAAAUCAUAAGGCUCAUCAAAAGCACGUGCUGUGGAUUUCUUGCAUUGAUAGUUGUUUUCAAUGCUGAAAAAUCACUUUUCAGAUUACUAAGUUACUUAUUUAUAUUUAUACACACAUACUGGAUUGCUGCAAUUCUGUACAUCAUUGGAACAUGAGAGCAUGUGGUUAUCAAAGUACUUUUUUUCUGUAUACUUAAUUAAAACCUUAAAUUCUAAACUAAUCAUAAAGCUUAUAAGUUGAAUCAAAUACUGAAGUGGCAUGAUUACAGUAAACUAAAAAGAAAAAUAGAAGAAAAAGAAAGUACAAAGUUUAAUUAAGAAGAGGUACAAUUUGUAAAUGGGACCUGAUGGGGGUCCAACCAAAGCACUUGAAAGAGAAAAAAAAAACGAAAAAAGAAAAACCCAUUUUGAGCAAGUAAAGGGUGGCAGGCCCCCCAUGUGUUCACACAACAUCAACUUAAAAUGGGAAAAGGAAAGUACCAAACUAAAAUUUAAAAUAAAUCAAUUUUAACUUUAGAAAUUUUAGUUUAAUUUAAUUUCGUAUAGGUAUUAAAAAGAAGAAAAAAAAAAACCAUUCUCAUCUCUCUCACGUCAACUUCUUUGCUUUUGCUCUCUCUUACUGAUGUCCACAUCUAUGAUGUUGAGAGACACAAAUGGAUAACAGGAUAAGCCUUUACCAAUGAAUUUUCAAAAAGUUUGUUUGCUAACGCUGUUUUUUUUAUCAUACAAUUGGACCACAACCCCCAAUAUCAUAAUCCAUUCUCUUCCAGAUAAAUAAAUUUUAUAUAUCUUAUUCCACCCCGACCUCCUACUAACCGUUGCCCUAGUAAAAAACUGUUAGUCACGUUGUGACAACAGUAAUUAUACCUCACGAAAGUUACAUAUAACAUGAUUGAUAGAGUUUGAUAUAUUUACCAUCAAAUUGUAACCUAUUAUUAUAAUUCGUUUGGUUAACUCAUUUGCCUUUUCCGGUUCUUCUUUCAUUGUUUUAAACUUUUGAUCAUAAAGUUGGGCCUGAAUCUGGGCCACAUGGGCCAUGGGCCUACAUGAUGAUAGACCAACUCACUUUUGAUGUAUUAUUUCGUCGGCUGUGGUGUACAUGCCAUUAAAUCCGUACUUUCUUAUAAGUUGGACUUGAGGCCCAACUACUUUUGAUGCAAACCAUAAUCAAAUUGAUAGAGACUUUAGUGAGACGAGAAAAAUAUUUGAAGAAGUAACACUCAUAUUUAAGUACGUUUCAUUUUGUUUAAAUUAUAUUUGCUAAAUAUUAAAAUUGACUUUCAUGAAUUAAUUAUUGUCAACUACGUUAUUCCAGUACAAUCUUUAUAAUUAUUUGAUUAAAGAUAAUGUUUAAUUGCAUCAAAAUAGAUUAAUUCUUAUGUUUGACACUAUCAUAAUAUAAGGAUAUAAUCAAUCAAUUAUUUGAGAUUAUUUAUGACACAUGUCCAUGUAAUAAUCUAAAAAAUGUUCAGUCCAAUUCUUAUUCUCUAAUAAGAAAAUAUGAUUAUAAUUUAUGUUUCUACAUAUAAUUAUCCUAAGAUUAUCAAUUAUAACUCAUACUAAUAUUAAUUUAUUAUUUUUUCCACAAGAAUAAUCGAUUAGAGACAUUUAGAAUAUAUUAACAUAUUCAUGGAUAUUAUUAUACAAUAACAUGCAAUUGAAUAAUAAUGAGAAUGAUAAAAAAAAUUGUUAAAGAGCCUAGUAAAAAAACCAACUUAACAUUUAGUUUCUAAUAUAAAUUAUAAUUUGGUAUUUUAAUAUUUUUCAUCAAUUUUAUGUUAGUUAUCUUUCAUAAUUUUAUUUAAUUUAAAUCGAAUCGAAACCCAAAAGAGUAUUGCACGAUAAAAAAAAUUGAAUACGAUAAUUAGAAAAAAUACAUAUAUUAAAAAUGUCUCCAUACACCUUUUAUGCGUCAGGAAUGAUGCCCUUUCCCUGACGUUGUGAGCAACGCGUUGAAAGUACCUAUCUCCCGAUGUUGGAAGGGGAUGUCAGCAGUCCCCUAUUGUCGACGUUCUCUAUCCGUCAACAAUAGCGGCGUCGGGAGAAAGGCAUUCCCGAUGCCUUUCCGUUUGCACAUCAGAAGUUACACUUCCCUUACGAACUACUACCAACUUCCUUUUCAACGACACCAUAUACAACAGGAGACCUUUCCUUAAUGCUUUUGGGUAUCUGUGCCGACACUUGGCAGCAUCAGAAGAUCCCCAAUUUCAUGUAGUAUUGUCCUACUCUUAAAACUAAAUAUAUAAGUGAAGAAUACUAAAUGUAUCUACAAUGCAUCAAGUGUAUCAAACAUAUCAUGUACAUCAAACGUAUCAAAUUUGUUUAGUGUACCAAUAAAGCAUAACAAUUUUAUUGGCGGUGUAUCAAACUUAUAAGUGAAGUAUUUAAGUGUAUCAAGGCAUAAGGGGUAUCAAGUGUAACGAGAAGUAUUAUGUGUAUCAAGAUGUUUUAUAUGUGUAUCAAAAGGUACUAUCGAGUAUAUUAAAAAGUAUCAGGUGCAUCAAAUGUAUCGAUGUACCAAGAAGUAUCAAGUGUAUCAAGCGAUAUUAAGUGUAUUAGACGUGUAUAUAGUUGUAUUAAAUGUAUAUUAGUAACGAGGGAAUUUGUGACAUUUUAUCUCUUGAUAUGUGGGUUGAAUUUUGUUUUUGUCAUUUUUACAAAUAAUAAAGUAUACGUGUGCUAUAAACUUAAUUAUUAUAACUUGUUUUGUCAUUUCUACAGACGUUCCUUUAUAAAAAUUGUAACAAACCAUAAGAAGCGUUCUAUCGUAUCGUAUGGAUAAAGAUUAAAUUUGAAAUUGGAGGAUAAUAAUUGUGUGAAAGAGUUGUUUGAUAAAGAUGAAUAUGAUAGUUUAGCGGAAGAUAGAAGAGAGGUUGAGAUGUUUGGCAGCCGCAACGGCAACCAAAUUGAUUAUUUUUCGUUUUUCAGAAAAGAAAAAUACACGUGGCUACAUUGGAGAAGUUAGUACUAAGGUACGCGACCCAGAAUGCUAAGGUGCGCCAACAAGAGAUGAUGGGAAUCUGCGAAUCGCGUAAGAAAUGAGCCGGUUGGUUUCUCGGCUUUUGCCUUUUCUUCUCUUUUAAAGUCAACCUUCAGGGGGUAAUUGCGUAAUUGCAUAUGUGCCUUAAAUAAUUAAAACUCCUUGGGGAAAUUAAAAUAACAAUAAUAAUACUAAUAGGAUUUUUGAGGUAUUUUAAUUUAUAUUUUUAUAUGAUGAAUAGGGACAAGUAAUUGGUUGGUUCAAUUUAAGAUGAUGUAUUUUGAAAAAGAAACAUAAAUCUCACCGCCAGAGAUCAAAGUAAUAUGAAGAAGAAAAGAGGAGACGGGUGAUGAAAACAAGACAAAUAUCUUUACAAAAAUAAAGUAACUCAAACAAAACAAAAUGUUUCCAUAAAUAUUACUUUACGUACCUUAUUUCAAAUUUAAAUUUAACAAAUAUGUUUUAUUUUAAAUUUAAUAUUUUAAAUACUACCUAAAAAUACCUUAACCGUAUAAUUAUAAACAUCAACGAAUUUAUUAUAAGUUGGCCUCCAAUUUUAUUGUCUUUAUAUAACAUCUAUAAAAAAAUUAAUUAAUAUUUAAUAUUCAUAGGUAAAUUAAUGAUAAUUGUGCUUCUAAACCUCUCUUAUCUAUCUAGUUUUUUUUUCUAGACUUUUAUUUAUUAUUUUAUAGUGAUAAAUUAACGUGAAUAAAAAAGCUGUUAAAAAUUUUGUAAAUAUUUUGUUCUUUUUAUCUUUUUCACAUAAAUAAUUUGAGUUAAUCGUUUUGAUAUGAUAUAUUUGUUAUAAAUUUUCAUAGUAUUUUUUUCAGAUUUCAAAUAUAAAAUUUUAAAACGUGAGAAUGUCAUAUAAUUUAUUUCUGUUCUUAAAAAAAAAAUUAAAAGAAAAUUUACCUAACAAAUAUUUGUUAGAAUUUAUUUGAUUUAAUAAAAUGACAAAAACACACCUGAUUUUAAUAACAAACGACUGAAAAAAUCUUUACAUAGUUAGAACAUUUUUAAUACUUUGGUAGUAUGAAAUUUUUGUUUCACUUGUUACAACAGUAACAUUUAAAAGAUAUAUAGAAUCUAUGAAAUAAUAAAUAAUAAAUCAUUUAAAUGAUAUGCUAAAUAAUGAAUGGAAAUAAUUGAUAUUUCAAAAACGAUACAAAUAUAAUUUCAAAAAUGAAAAAAGUUCACCGACCACGAUAGAAAAUACAAAAAUGUUAUGCGAUUAAUUUGUCGAUAAGAAAAGAAAAGAAAAAUUGGAGAAAAAAUAAUAUGAAAAAAAAAAAAGUCAAAUGAAAAUAUUUAUAAAAAGGACAAAAAUAUCGUAGAAGCAAAAAAAAAAGAUCGCACAAAAGAAGAAAAUGAUGAUAAAGACAAACCCAUAUAUUUUUUUUAGUUUGUUUAUUUUAUUACGUGACCAUAAAUAUUUUAUAAGUUUUCUAUAUUUAUGAAAAUUAAGGAAAUUGAAAUCUAUUUAAAUAUUUUUAAAUUCAAAUAUUAUUAUUUCACAUAUAAAAGUUUAGAGGAUGGAAUUUGUAUUUUAAUCAAUUUUUUAAAUAUUGAAAAGAAGUAGUUUAUUGUGUUUGCUUUGUUGUCCAGAAGCAAACAUAAACAAUAAAACAUUCGAUAUAUAUAUAAGAAGAAGGGUAACAUACAUGUAAGAUUUAUAUAUAUAAAAAAAUUAUAGAUAGUUGUAUUUGCUUUUCAAAAGUUUAUAGAAACGAGUAAAAAUGAUGUAGCCAGAAGAAAAAGUAAAAAAUAUGUUGGCGCGAAUUCUAUAUCCUAGACCUAAAACGUUACAUAUGGAUAUCAUUUCGUUAUAUAAUUUACCACAAACACCGUCAUAAAUACAAGUUUAUUAAAAAUAUAAAUACACGUGGUACUUGUUUAACACAAAAUUAUUUAACAUAAACCGUGACAAAUGAAAUGAAAGAAAGCAAAUAAAAAAUCUUUCAUUUAAAAUUUGAGUAAAGCAAAGAAGAAAGCAGAUUAUUUUAGUGUUGAAAAGAGAGAGAGAGAAAUUGUUUUUCUUUUUGUUAUUAUAAUUAACUUUCAGUUCAUAGAAAAAAGGUAGUUUGUUGUGAGAAAUUGGUUCACGCGUUGGAUUUAAUAUUAAGCCUGCAAGACUUGGGUUCUGUCUCACCCAAAUAGACAGAGGAACAGAGUUCUUACUCUCAAGAAGCUACAAAGGAGAAGACCCUGAGCUAUUUCUUCUUCUUUUUUUCCCUUUUCUAUCGCUCCCUUGUUCUUCAAUCUAUUCUUCUGCCAUGGGUUUUUUGUUUUAGGUUGUGGGUUUUCAACCCCAUCUACAGAUUCCUGUAUUUUCUUCAUUUUCAGCCUUGGAUUUUGCUCAUCUUCAAUUGGUAAGUUUCUUAGCUUCUAAUCUUCUUCUAUAUCUGUUUACUGAAGCUCUCUAAUAGGGUUUCUUAGCUACUAGGUUUACUUACUGUCUAGAGCUACUUUCUAUAUCUACAAUGGUUUUCUCUACCCUUCUACUUUUAGGUUUUAUAACAUUUCCUUACUUUUUGGCUUGUGUUGACCAUUUCUUACUUUUGUUUAUGUAUGGUUUAAAUUUUCAUUUAGUUUCUGUGUUUGGUAUUCCUUGUGGAAGCACACUUGGUGAGGAAAUGGAUUAUUGACCUAUUUGACUAAUGGGGUUUUUGUGUUUGGACCUUUUUCUUGUGUUCUCCUUUUUGUUUCUUCUGUUUUCCUGGAGUACCAUUUAGUUGUAACUUGCUUUUGAAUUUGAUAAUGCGGUUUCAGUUUUUUUUCUUUUUUUGUUUUUUAAUCCACUGAUCAGCUGAUUCAUAGCCUAUUAACCUAUGUUCUGUUUGCUUGAAUGAUUUUGUUGGUGUCUGAAAUUUAUGUUCAGCUGUUUCGGAAAUUCACUAGGCCAGAAAAGAAAUCCAUUCUUCAGAAAUGUCAGAAACUUAAAAUUUUUGCACAGUUUUUUUCGUUUGGCUUGAUGAGUUUUGCAAGAGGAGCUCUUUGCUUACUAAGUUUAUCAAAUCAAAUGAUUCGGAUUGAUAAAUUAUAUUUGAACACACACAAAAUUUGGUUCACAUCAGGUCUAAAAUUCAUCAUUUUGUGUCUUUGGGAAACCCAGUAUUUAGGCUGGUUCUUGUCUUUGUAGAGAACAUAAUAGAAUAUCUUUUAUAUGUUUUUGUGUUCCUUGUUUCAUUAUUUUUUCAGUGUGAUGAAUAACAUUUGAAUGUUGUCUCUUUUAUAUGCAGUUGAUGGUGGUGUAUGUUGUGGUUUCGAUUAUCUUUUAAGUGGCAUCACACAACAGCUACAUUAAACAUACGUUAAUCAGAAUUUUGUGACACAUCCAGUGAUGUCGUUUCGUAGUAUAGUUCGUGAUGUUAGAGAGGGGUUUGGAAGUUUAUCCAGGCGUAGUUUUGAGGUGAGACUGCCCGGUCACCAGCGGGGUAAAUCUCAUGGAUCAGUCCAUGAUUUGCAUGACCAACCUCUGGUAAUUCAAACCAGUCGUUGGGCUAGUCUCCCACCUGAGCUAUUGCGGGAUGUAGUCACGAGACUGGAGGAGAGUGAGAGUGUGUGGCCUGCUCGAAAACAUGUUGUUGCUUGUGCUGCUGUUUGUAGGUCGUGGAGGGAAAUGUGCAAAGAGAUAGUAAAAAAUCCGGAGUUCUCUGGAAAAAUUACCUUCCCUGUCUCCUUAAAACAGGUACAAAAGUAACAAAGUGCUUUCCAUGUUUGUAAUUCUUUUCACACGUGUUGAACGCAGAAAGACAUAGAAGAGUACCUUUUGCAAUUCUUAUUUCAUUUCUUUUUGCAGCCAGGGACUCGGGAUGGAACCACUCAGUGCUUUAUUAAGAGGGACAAAUCUAAUUUGACUUAUCACCUUUACCUCUGCCUAAGUCCUGGUAAGCUUUUCUUCCAUGGUUACAUCUGUUUGUUUUUCUUUCAUUGUACAUCAUAUGGAUUUAAAUACUUUUGCCCAAAGUUGUUCAUUAGGAUCUAAUCAUUGAGAGACAUGGGGUUCAUUCUCUGUUUGUAUGGGCCUGUGACUCAUUUGGUAUGAUGUUGCCAUAAUGCGUGUCUAUGGGCUCUUCCCCACCAUAUGCCGAAAGAUUUCUGAUUUUUUGGAUAGUGCUGCAUUGUUUCGUCAUCAUAUCAUCUCGUGUAUUUUAACAUUUGCUUUUAUUUUAAAUGAAUCACAUGAACCUUUUACACACGCAGCUGUUAUCUAAAAUGGGAUAACUACAAGUAAUUUAUAUGUAAUAUCGGUUUUGUUUUGAGAUGUGAAUCUUCUUUUUUUGUGUUCAUGGUCGUUACAUAUCAGUCCUUGGAUAUUUAGCAAAGUAGUUCCACCAUUAGAUGAUGAAGUCCGAAUAUAUGUCCAGAUAUUUUACAAUGGAGUUUGUAUUGGAUAAUGAACUGUGAUUCCUAAAACUGGAUAUUUGACAAAGUACUCCUUUUGGAUGAUGAAUUCUGAAAAUAUUAAAUAUUACGAUAUGGAACAUGCAUGCAUGCAUACACACACAUGUUCAUGAAUCUGUCUGAUAAGGGUUCAGCCUCAAUUUUAUUUAUCAAUAAUGGGUGAGUUCAAGAGUUUCCCACAAUCUCUUAACAUUUAUCCUUAUUGCAGCUUUACUUGUUGAUAAUGGGAAGUUUCUUCUUUCUGCCAAAAGAACGAGAAGAACAACCUGCACUGAAUACGUGAUCUCCAUGGAUGCAGAUAAUAUAUCAAGAUCAAGCAACACUUACAUUGGAAAACUAAGGUAGAAUUGUUUGUCUCCAUCCAAGUUCCCUGGUACUCUAAGAUAUUAUUAAUUAUGACACUUUUCUAAAUGAAGGAAUUACACCAAGCUGAAUGAUUAUCAAUGUACACUCCAUAUGGAUCUUGUUCAAAUGGAGGGUUUGGUAAAUUUAACGUAGCGAUCCAACUCUUUAUACUAAGCUGGAGUCAUUACUACUAAUUUAAAUAAAGAUUUUCUAAAAGAAAAUAAAUAAAUAAAAGUAGAUAUUAAACCUUUCAAUAAAAACGUCAAAUACUUAAUUAUAAAUCAUAAACAAAUAAUCUAGAAAUAAAAAUAAAAUGUCAAAUAUUAGUUUGGGCCCUAUUUCAAAUAACAAGAAAAUAUUUUAAGAGUACUCAUGAGUUCUGAAAUUUUAAAUAAAAUAUUGUAAGCAUAAAUGGAGAAGAAAUCAUAAACUUUCCCUUAUGGCGAACCACAGUCACUUCUUGUCAUUCGCUAGCUUUCCUCUACAGACCUUUGCCUGAAAAAUUAAAUAUAAAAAGAGUGGGUAUAAACAUAUACUCAUGAAUGGACUCACUACUAGUCCCGCUAGGUGUCUGUUAACUUCUCGUUAGGGUCCAAUAAGAAGGUAUCUCAUAACUAUCGUGCUCGCGAACACACGCUAUCUAGUGAUCCUAAGAAACCCAAUUGGUCUUUGGUGAUUCCGAAGGAACACCUAAGAGAAACUUGUCUUCGGCGACUCAAAGGAACGCCUAAGAGAAUCGGGCUAAAAGUGACCUCAUCAAAUCACUCAUAAAAGUUAGCCACAUGCAUAAAUAGGUGGUGAUCUCAAGGGACACCUAUAUGGGUACGAUUUUAAUAGACAAAGCUAACAGAACACCAUAGCCUAUACAUGUAGUAUAUCAUAAAUAUCAUAUCUCAAUCAUUACAUAUGUAGAUCAUAGCAUGUCUCUUUCAUAAUAUAUCUCGGUCAGACCAUAUCUCAGUCAUACAUAUCUUAGUCAUUCAUAACGGUCAUCUAUGUAGCCAUCUUUAACAGUCAUCUCUAACAGUCACAUUAUGCAUCCUAGCUACACUAAUGCAUAAUAAGGGAAACAUACAUGCAAACUUUAAUGUCGAAGGUCUAAUAGUAGAAUUUGUUGUCCAAGAUUAGCUUAACAGAAAUUGUUUCUAAUAGUCACAGCCAAAGCUUUCCAAACAGACAAAAGUCCAAAACAUAAACGAGUGGGGAUGCUUCACGAAUAUUGAAUAUUUCACGAACUCCUUCCUUUUUUGGAAAAAAUUAUACGAGUGGCCUGAUUUUGAUUUGUUUAUCUGCCUGUUUGUCAAAUUCAUCUCUUUUAUAUUCGUUAGGUUUCAUUAUUGGGGAAACAGUUUCAAAAUAUUGAAAGAUUACCACAUAUCUCUUAAUGCAAACAGGAAAAGUGCAUCUUGUGGCUUUUACUAAUUAUUUGCAUCAGUUAGAUUGAAUUAUUCAUCUCGAAUUGUUUUCUUGUAGAAAUGUACCUAGUUACACGUUGCAUCUUUUAGUUUGUUUACAUGGAUCUGUUCUCUUCAUUUCAGGUCAAAUUUUCUUGGGACCAAGUUCAUUAUUUAUGAUACACAGCCUCCAUACAACAAUGCCCAGAUUUCCCCACCUGGCCGUAGCCGUAGAUUCUACUCGAAGAAAGUUUCUCCAAAAGUCCCAACUGGUAGCUAUGACAUUGCUCAAGUCACUUAUGAAUUGAACGUUCUUGGCACAAGAGGCCCCCGAAAGAUGCACUGCACAAUGCACUCCAUCCCUACCUCAUCUCUGGACGCUGGUGGCACUGUUCCAGGCCAACCCGAGGUUGUUCCUCGACUCCUUGGGGAUUCAUUUCGAAGCAUAUCAUUCUCCAAGUCUGUCUUCAACUCUACAGAGUUCGGUAGUUCCCGUUUCUCUGACAUUGUUGGCUCUCGAGACGAAGAUGAGACGGGGAAGGAGAGACCAUUGAUUCUUAGGAACAAGCCGCCACGGUGGCAUGAGCAGUUGCAGUGUUGGUGCCUUAAUUUCCGGGGGCGAGUAACUGUUGCCUCUGUCAAAAACUUUCAACUGAUAGCCGCUACAGAGCCUUCUUCAACAGCUACAAACCAAUCACAGCCAAAUCAACAUGCCCAAUCCUCCCAAUCUGACCAUGACAAGAUCAUUCUUCAAUUUGGAAAGGUUGGGAAAGACAUGUUUACCAUGGAUUACCGUUAUCCAUUGUCAGCAUUUCAAGCUUUUGCAAUCUGUUUGAGUAGCUUUGACACCAAAUUGGCUUGUGAAUAAAUGAAACUAGAAGCCCCAUCGUGAAAUCGAGGGAUCUUAUGAUGGUUUCUUUCUUCUUUCAGAAUAGAAUGUAUUUGGUUGUAUGCAGUGACUGUAAAAAGUCAUCUUGAAAAAUUUGUAUAACAGUGUGUGCACCCCAAAGAGAUUUCUUUCUGGCCUACCCUCGCCCUCCCAUCUUUGGUUCCUUUUGCCUAGUUUGCUGUUCGCUAGUCAACAAAAGUACAUUGAAUAUUGAAAUGUAGACAUAGUUUCUCAUUGGUCUGCAGAGGUUCAAUGGAGGGGUUAGUAAACCUUUGCAGUUUUAAGUUUUAAGCUCCAGAUGAAUAACAUUAGAGGUCCCUUCAAAAGGAGAGUGCGGUCUGCAGAGGUUCAAUGGAGGGGUUAGUAAACCUUUGCAGUUUUAAGUUUUAAGCUCCAGAUGAAUAACAUUAGAGGUCCCUUCAAAAGGAGAGUGCAUUAAAAAACAAAUACAUUUCACUUAGCUAAAGCAAAUCUAGGUAAGACUGAAAUCCCAUAUAUUUUUUUUUUAGGCAAAGUUAUGAUUCAAAGAAGCAAUAAUUGAUGUUUCCUCGUUGAUUAGCUUUUUCAAGCAAGGCUCUAGAGCUGUGGCAUGAGCAGCCUUGGUCUUUCCUUUUCUCCUCUUUUGUUUAUGUUUUUUCAGUGUUUAUCUACCAAAUACCAUUAGAUUUUUGCAGUAAUGAUAAUGUGGGAUAUAGCAACUUUUUUCUAUUUCUUUUUUGUUUAUUCCUAAAAUACUCUUGUUUUAAGUGUAAUUGGAAUGAGUAGCAUUUUUAGAAGAAUUAAUUAAUGAUAUCUUUUCAUUUUGUUGUUUAAUUGUAGUAUAUAUAGUGUUCAUAUUGUACGGUGGCUGAAAGCCUAUAUUCUUUAUACAUAGACUGCAUGUUUAUACCUUUUUAACAUUUCUAGGCGAGAAGACCAAAUCAUAACAAGAAAAGUAAUUCACUAGGAGAAAAGAAUGACAGUUGGAGAUGAUGUAAUCUGUGACAGACACCUUUCCGCGUGUGGCGCUAACAUGCUCAGAAGAAUAAAAGAAAUUCACCGAAAUAUGCCUAUAAAAGAACUCCACUUCCACCACAAAAAGGAGGCAUGAAUGGGCCAAAAGGAGGGCUUGAAUAGGCCAAAGAGGAUGCUUGAAGGAGCCAAAAUAAUAACAUAAGAUUGAUAUUCUAGAGAGAAGGGCCGAAAGAAAUAGUCUUUCCAAUGGUCGUAAAGAGUUUCUUCUUCUUCUCCCGUGAUCCUGUAAGUGAGAGCUUAGAGUCCGAGUGGUGAAGGUUCCAUUUCCCAUUCUUCCUAACUUGUAUUCAUUCACAGUCUUCUGUCUUCCUUUUUUGUAUUUUUUGUGUAAUAUUUAUAUUGUUCAUAUUGUACAAUGGUUGAAGACCUACAUUCUUUAUGUUUAUAUUACAUGUUUAUACAUUUUCAGACCAUCAUUUCUCUACUUUAAUCGGACAAUGUGUUAUGGAUAGUUUAGGUUGGUGAUAAGUUCUUUAUAGGAAGUUUCGUUUAUUAGUCUUGUCGCAUUAGUUGAGUCAUUCUCAUCCUUUGGCUAGCGUAAGUUGCCUACUACACGAGAGGGUAAGUAGCAAGGACAUGGUUAAUGCGCACAAGGAAAAGUUCUCUUCCUUUACGAGAUAACUUCCAUCAUUUAUAUCCCAAAAGGUGAUCAAAUGUGGACACUAGGCAUCGAGAGGUUGAUGUCCUUAAUCGUAAAGUUUUCUACUCUUCUAGAUAUAUAUUUAGGCUACAUGUGUAGAAACCCUUAUCUAUGAGAAGACAAUCCUAUUUACAAGUAAAAGUUUAAGCAUUGAGAAAUAAAUUAAUGCAUAGCAUUCGGACCAAAUAAAAGGAAACUAAAUUAUAAAAUUUAUGACAAAUAGUAAUAAUCUAACCAAUAAACUUUUAAUUCAACGACACGCAAUUCAACCCAUAAACAUCAUCUUGAGUUAGAAUCGAUCCAAACAACGUAAAAAUAUUUUUUAAUAACAAAAUCCCUUAAGCUAUCAAAAUGUAUAUGUCAUCAUACUUAAUAAAUAAAAACCAAACAAAUACAUCCUCAAAUGCAUAUAUUCCAAGAAAGAAAAACACUAUAAUCAUAUACAUUAGAAAUGAUUAGAAACAAAAGUGACAAACUACUCAGAGCCUAGUAGAAAUGAUUAGAAACACAAGUGACAAACUACUCAGAGCCUAGUACAAAUAUCAUUUGUAAUAUCCAAAUUGAUUCACUCUGAUUCCCUAGAUCCUAAUCAACGGUAUAAAAUGUAUAAAGGCAAGAAAAUUGUAAAUCAUGGUUUCAAGAUAAGAUUAGUUCUAUAGUCAGAUGAGUUAAGGAAUGUCCCAUUCAUCAAAUGAGAGGGCUUGGCCUCCACGAUGAAAUUGAGUAGGUUAGUUUAGGUGUUUGGCUCAAAGAGUGCAUGCUCUAUUCAUUGGUAGGGUAGGUUCGACUUCAAUCUUGGCUCAAACAAGUUAGUUUCAACCUUCGACCCCAAGUCCCCUAUCUACAUAUCUAACUGGGCCACAACAUUUUGAUUUUGGCUUGAUUUUCAUCCUUCUCUUGAUGCAAUAGUAUGCAAAUUCACUUAAAGUCGACAAUAUCCUCUACUUCAAAUCUUCUCACAACACAUUGUAUCAACAAGCAUUGUCAUAAUGUAAGUGGACAUACACAAACAAAUGAAAUUAAGAUGAAAAACACUUGAUAGACACAAUUGUGUAGGAUCAAGUUGAAGAUUCAUAACAUGCCACUUUUGAAAUCUCAAGAACCAAAGCAAAAACUAAAUUCAAAUCUUGAGUGUAAUGGUUGGAAAUAGCACAAAAAGUUUUUCACCUUUGACAAAUAACAUAUUUUUUGGCCAAUUAUUUUAAUGGGCUGUCUUUGUGCCAUCUCGGUUAGGAUCAAUAUCGAGACUAAAAAAAAAAUUAGUAUCUUUUGAUGGAAUGUUUGAACCACCAAUUCUAUGCUUUCUCGAUGGAAAUUCCAACUAGGACGACAACUAGGAAAGAACAAAAAACUUCUGCUCAUAUAUUCUGAUCGAUAAGUCACAACAUCUAUAAUCAUUAUGAAAUUUCAAAAACAUCAAAAGCAAAUAGAAUAGAUGGCACCAGGACAACCCAUUAGAAAGAUUACUACUUCGUAAAAGAAACAAAACUUCACUUUACAACAUUUCUCAUAAAUUGUUCAUUCCAAUUGAAUCAUUAAACACCCCAAAGGAAACACGUUUCUUUACCUGUCACCAUAAAAAGGAGCUCUUGGUUAUGGCUCCUCCUGUUUACUGUAGUUUCAUUGUCAAUAACCAAACCCUCCCAAUUAAUUGUGGUAUGCUUGCCGAUCAUAACAAGAACUGUGAUCUUUUGCUAGUACAGAAAACUUCAUUGGUUGAACAAACUCCAAGCUCAAAAUCUUGAUCACUUUCCUUGGAGCGUCCAUUCCAACCACGUACUGAAAAGGAAAGACAGAUGUAUCAUGACAUGUCUUCUCUCAUGUAGAAGCCCGCACAAAGGGCUCUGCACUCUCCUCCUCUACGGAGAUUCUCCUCUGUGCAUCAAGUUUUGUUUCGUUGCCAAUGGUAUUUGAUAUGGCUUUUGAUAGCCAAAACCCAGGUCUCUCGAUGAAUGUUGCUCGAUCAAGAACCAAAGGUUCUCUCAUCGUUACUUCUAUCCCAUUGUCUAUCCACAAUGUCAAGGUUGCUUCACCUUUGAGACCUAAAGAAAACCAGCCUAAACCUGCUAUUGAAAUAUCAAUGCUAUUGACAACCCAACUUGUGCCAGAAAUCUUGACCUCUCUCUCUGCCCAUUUGCCUAUUUCAGAAGCACGGUCGACACCAAUGGGUGGCUAGAAGAAACAAGAAAAUCAAAUAUUGAUCAACUGGCAAUCAUAAAAUGCUUAAUUUUCUUUUUCUGCCACCUAAUAUAGCUACGUUUAGGAGUGCUUUCAGGACCAAAAGCACUUCAUUCAUGUUCAAAAUAAAGUGUUUUCAAGUACUUUUUACUUGCUUCCUUAUGCAUAUUUGUAUAAUUGCUUGACAGAAUAUGAUCAUUACAAUCAUAUGGUACUACUUCUCAUAAAUCGUAAUAAAAGAGUGUGUUUGAGAGUGAUUUUGAAAUGUUAAAGAUCACGUUUACCAUAUUCAAAAUCACUCUAAACCAUGCUUUAAUCAUCCAAAACCAUUUCCCCCUCCCCUGACUAUUAAAUCAGUGCAAUUUUUUGGGAGAUGAAUGUUAGUUGCUUAGAUAUUGAUAUGCAGUGAACUAAAAUGAUUAAAAGGAAAUGGCAGAAGAUGGAUAAGAUAAUACCUUAGCAAGCCCAGAUAUCCCUAGAGAAACUAAUAAUCGAGAGAAAUCCAAUAUAGGAGACAUUCUGGAGGUAACAACAAUUACUUUUUGCAAUAUGAACUGAGUGAAACAAAGCCAAUUACCUGCAACCUUAUACCAGCAUGUUUCUUCCAUAUCUCAUCAGCAUUUUCAAUCUUCCCUAAGUGAAGAGAAACAUUUGGUGAUGCCCAAACUGUAACAUAUAUUGUCUCUACUGAAGCUUGGUUCAGAUCAAGUCUUACCAAACCACCAACAUGUACAGUCUGCCCUACCUGCCCAAUAUUGUUGAUUAUAAUUAGGGUCUAACAGCAUCCUCAUAUCUAGUGAACAGCCACAUUAACCAAGUCUCUGUAUAAUUUGAUGCUUGUCCACCAUUUGCAUAUACCAGUAAAAACUAGUCAAGUAAAUCAUUGAAACUAACAAGACACGGACAAGAAAAUUGAGUAAGGUGACUAAUUUUUAGAGGCUGUGCCCUUUGCCUCAAAACUACCAUUAUUAUUUCAAAAAUUGCAAUAUACCCUUAAACUUUCGUUAAGGUUUCAAAACUAGCAUUAGAGUAGAAAUUUGCAAGAAUGUUAGACAAAGAAUGGGACCAGGAAUGGUGUCUUAGUAACCCAAUAUGGAAAUUGGGACCUAAAUAGCACCACAUCAUUUGUCACUGCCAUCGCCACACCCACAUCAUUUGCAAGAGGUUCUAAUUUCCAUUCAAAAUUCAAACAGAUUUCUUCAAAGGUAGUCUUGAAAUAUUUACAAAAGGUCCAAAGUAAAUUACAACUUCUGAAAGAAUAUGGGCAUUUUUGAAAAAAUGGGCAAACUUCAGGAAAUUUUAUCUUUUUUGGUCAUUUAACCUUUUUUAUUUGCAUACAAAAUGAAGGCCUAUCAACAAUUUUGGAGCGGUAACUACAAUCCAUUUUGGCAAAAAUUGACUAACUAUAUCAGAAUACACUACUAGCACGAUAUUGAUUUACUCAUUUUAUCUACACUAGACCAUAAAUUUUUCUAUGGAAGUUCUGAUAAAAAGUCAAGAGUAUCCCAUGAGCUUAGUGAAGAAGAAGAAAUGAUCAAUAAAAAAUAACAUUCUGUCAAUUGAGGGUCGAUUAAUUGAUCCUCGGAAAUAAGUGCAGUAUAAUAGAGUAGAUUCAUAAACAUUUAGCAUGCUAUCAUUUAGAACUCAAUGUGGACUUAAAGUCUCAAACAUGGAUUAAACCAUUAUAUAGAUCAUAAAUGUUAAUAGUUAAGUACCAAAGGGUUAUAGUCACCUAGACGAUAAAAUAAAUCCAUGUUUUCAUCAAAAACAGGUAUAAAAAUAUUCACUCAUAGAAACACAACUUGCCUUCACUCUGUAAGUUCUCGGUUGGAGCUCCUUUCGAAUUUCGACCAUCUUCUGUUCUUCCCUAUUCAAUCUCAUGGACACUAGAUAAGGAUGUAGAAGCCCAGGAGUAUCAAACAACUUUGCCUUGGCUGACAAAAUCCCCCCAAUUCUCAAGAUCCCGAGCGUAGUCCCAGGAAUUGGAGCUUCGGUAAGCUUUGUCACUUUAGCCCUUUCUUUUUUUGCUAAUGCAUUAAUGAGAGUAGACUUCCCAGCAUUCUGAGCACCAAUAACCCACACAUUUCCUCGUGGACCAGCCAAUUCUUUGAUGAAGGACAAUAGAUUUUUCACACCAACAUCUUUUCGAGAACUAACCAAAUAAACGCCAGCUAAUUUAGGUGCACCCGCAGCCUUAGCACGGUGCCGAACCCAUCUAUCUAGUCUUGUGGGCGAAAUUUGAGAUGGGAGGAGGUCAACCUUUGUGGCCACAAGAACAAGCUUUGGUAAUUUCUUACCCAUCUUGGGGUCGUUCUUAUUUCCUUCCAAAGCCUUAAACAAUGAUUUUGCCGCACGCUUGGGAAAAGAACCAUCGAAAUCAACACAAUCGACAACCAUAACAACAACAUUGUUCAAAUUUGAUGUGGAUUUCAUCAAACGGUUGGCCAUCAAUCUAUCAAAAUCAAAAUCAGGUAUUAAGUUCUCAGCAGCUUGGUUCUUCACCUGCCCAUAAUUCCUCAAUGAGUGGCACCUUGCACAAACUGUUACCUCUUCUAUCUCUUUCUGAGCCUCUCUAGCUCUCCUCUUCUUCUCUGACUUAGAUAUUCUCUUCUUCUCAGCUCUCUUCACUGUUUCCUCUGUAAUGUUUCCAUAUCCCACAUCAGCAGGCGCAAAACCAUCCAAUUCCAAAUUAUUUUCUUCAUCCUCCAUGAGCUUAGCUUCCCAUUCAUCGCUGUCCCAAUCAAAGCCAUCCUCAAUUUCUUCUGCAUCACUAUUUUCUUCUUCAUCCACAACAUCACUAUUUUCUUCUUCGUCCACAACAUCACUGUCUACAAUUCCAUAAAACUCAUCUUCCACAUCCUCCCCAUCCUCCAUUGGCUCUGUAAGUGAAACCUUCCUUUUCUGAUAAAACCCAAGAACGUUUGGAUCCUCAUCUUGCAUAAAAACUCCACAGCCAGGACAUAUGUCUCCAUUUUGCUCAUCCUCAUCUCUUCCCUCACUCAAAACAGAAUCCUUUGUCCUGCCUUUUCCCUGAAUCUUAGAACUUGUUGUGCGAACAAUUUGUUGGGAUUUCACGGCUAAGCUAAUGGGUUGAAAUUGAAUCCUGUGGGCAGUUACUUGUCUAUUGGGGCCUAGUAAAAGAGGGGGUUUUGUUUACUCUAUGAAUCAAAGUGUAAAGGAAAAUGCGGGGAAAAGGGAAUUUACCUGGAAGGAAAGGAGGUCGUGUUCGUAUGUUGAGUCCAUGAUAGAAAUUAUUGACGGGGAGUUUCAGAUUGAGCUCCAUUGCAGAUAACAGAAUUGCCAUUCCUUAGAAUACAAUAGUUCUACUUCUACAAUGAAGAUGGGAAAUUGCCAAAGAUAAGCAAGGCUAACAAAUUUGAAUCAAAUUGAAUUUUGGGAAUUUUCCAAAACUUUAAUCCAAAUUCAAGUAUCUAGAAAGCACCCUAAAGAUUUCCUAAUUUUUCUUAAAGAGAUAUAUUCAGCUCUAAUGCUUCUAAACCCUGAGUCAAUUCAAAUAAUCAAACAAUCCAAACAAUCAAACCCAAAUUAUAAGGAAAUGUUGGAUUCUGUUAGAUUAUAUUUUAAGAAUUAAAAUUCGAGUUGAGUUCAACCCGAAUUUCUAAUGUUAUUAAAUCAUAGGUUAAGUUACAAAAAAAAAUGCAUCUAAAUUUUAAAAAGUUUCAAAAAUGUCCUUAAAUUUUAAAAAGUACUCUUUCGGUUUGUUUUGAACGAAACCAUUAAAGUUUUGUUUAAAAAAAAACUCCUAAACUAUUAAAAAGUUUCAUAAAUACCCUUGAAGUUAAACAAUUUCAAAUAUACUUUCAUUGAUCCAAACUUUACACAAACUUUCUCACCAACAAAAUUUUUAAAUUAAAACCAUAGUUUUAAAUUUAUCUUACUUUUAACAUAGAGAGAUAGAUUAUGAACACAACAAAUCUUAAUAGUUAUUGUUGUAAUAAUCAUCAAAGAAAAAAAUGUAUUUGACUAUUAACACACAAUGAUAGUCCGAGAGAUCUAUUAUUGGAAGAUUUUUUUUAUUUGACUAAUUAUUGUAUGUUGAUAAUUUUAUUGGUUUUGUAUUUCCAAUAAACUCAUAUCCUUACUUGUCUUAUGAGUCUUGAUAUGUAUGUCGAGACAUAUAAAGACUGACGUUCAAGAUACAACUUAAAGAAUCUAUAGUAUAAAUAUAAGGUUGGGUACCUUAUCUUGCUACAUCAUGUAUGCGACCCACUUUAUUUUUUUUAUACAAAUGUAAUGAUUCAACGUGUUCAUGUAGGUGACAUGUGAGUGAUGGUAUCCUAUGUAAUAAGUUUAACUUCUAGAUGUAACUUCAUUUACUAGUUAGGUUUAUAUUUCAAUAGGAUGACCUAAACAAUUUAGUCUUAAUCUUGAGUAUAAUAUGAUCUCCUAUUUGCAAAAGAUUGUCCUUUGAUUUGUAAGAAUGAGAGUAGUCAGAUUGCUCCCACAAGCAUACCAUUUUGAGAAUAAAACCAAGGGGGAAGCUAGAAACAUAAUUACAAAGAUGAAACUCACUAUUUUCCAACUUUAGAAUACGUAGAUAAGUGUUAGCUUAAAUGGUGUCUCCAUAAUUUAAACAAAUGACCCUACCCACUUUAUGGCACAAGAGAAGUUUUUAUUUAUUGGUUGAACCAUAAGCAGGUUGUUCAUGAGAGGAGGACUAGUAUGUAAGUACUAAGAAGUAACCUAGGGGUAAAAUGAUAAUUUGACAAAAGUGGUGUUACGGCACUUGUGAAUGACUAACUUGUUGUUAUUUGUUUAUAUAUGUGGACACACAAGAUAUCGACAGCGAGAAGAGUGCAACUGUGAGUUUCUAGUAGAGUGUACACAUAGUUAACAAAUGUUUAUUAAAGUGGUAAUGAGUAUAGUCAACUAAUAUCAUGUUGUUGGAGCUUCUAAUCUGCAGAUCCUACUACUGACAAAAGGAAGUGUUUCCACUACAAUAUGGAUGGACAUUGGAAGAGGAAUUGCCUCAAGUAUCUUGCGGAGAAGAAGAAAGAACAAUAGGUAAAUAUGAUUUACUUGUUUUUAGAAACAUGUUAAGUGGAAAAUGACCAUAAUGUCUGGUUGAUUCAGUAGCCACUAAUCACAUUUACUUUUUUUUUACAAGGAAUUAAUUCAUUCCAGAAGCACAAGGAGGGUGGAACGGGGCUCAAGGUUGGAAGGGAGACAUCACUUAUACUCUUGCAGUAGGAGUGAUCAAGUUGUUUUUUAGAAAUAGAUUCUUGUUUUUAGAAAACUUAUACAGAUCAAAAGGAACUUGAUUUUUAUUUCUUGCCUUCUAUAACAAAUGAACUUAAUUAACUUCUCUAUCAAUAACGAAGGGAUAAAAGCCUAUGGCAAAACUAUUCCUCAAAUUAAUUUGGGAAUCCCAAAAUACUAAUACAUUAGCAAAAAUACUUAAGAAACUAGUUUUCUUAUUAAAACUUAAAGGCUAAGCAUGUUUUCUAAUUAUAGAUUAGAGAAAGAAAAUUUUACUUGUUUAUGUCUCUGAAUCUAUAAAGUAAAUUUUCAAAUUGGGACACGUGCGUUAGAGACAUUUCUAUUUUAUAGGAUGAGAUUGAUUUGUGGGAAGCAAUUGAGAUGAGACAAAUGUUUAGAGGGAAGUUAUUUUCUUCUUGUAGAGAACAAAAACAUUGGUUUUUUUUUUAUUAAUUCAUUUAAAGAAAACUGUUUUCUUCUAGAUAUUUAUAAUUCUCUUUCCUUCUCGGAGUAAGAGAGAAUCAUGAGAUUUUAUUAAUUUUUUAAAAAAUAUUAAAUUAAUAGAAAUAUCAAAUCUACUAAUUAAUUAAUCAUUAAUCAAUUAGCUAAUAAUUAAUUAAAUGGAUAUUUAAAAAAAUAGAAAAGUAAAUUAAAAUAUUUACAAGUUAUAGCAAAAUUUUCGAUUCUAUCAAUGAUAGUCACUGAUAGAUUUCUAUCACCGUAGCAUUUCAGUGAUUAUCAGUGAUAGAAUUUAAAAUUUUUGCUAUAGGUUGUAAAUAUUUGGUAGAAUUUGUUAUUUUUGAAAAUUCUCCUUAAUUUAAAUCAUAUUUAAUUAAUAUUUCAUUCAAAUCUUAUUUAAUAAAUAUCUCUUGAUUAUUUUAUAGUUUUAUAUUAAUUUAAUUAAAUCAAAUAAAACUAAACUAUUAAUUAAUUUUUUAAUUAAUUAAUAGCUAAAUUAAAUAUUAUAUAUUUAACUUAAAUUAAAUUUAAAUUAUAUUCAAUAUAAGUUUUUCUCAUGACCAAUAAUUUUAAUAUGAAUCUACUUCACAUUAAAUUAAUAUUUGAACUCAUUCAAAUAUUUUAUCUUUGUUGAAUCAUAUCCAAAAUUAAAUUUAUAUAAUAAAUUUUAUAUUAUAAUGUAUCAUUAUACUAGUUCUCAAAGUAAAUUUGAACACUUCAAAUUACAACCAAUAUAAAUAAAUCAUAUUACCAUUUACGAGCUAGGAAGAAAACCUAAUGAACCUACAGAUCAGAAGCUACAACGAUCUGUGACUAAACUCAUUAACCACAUUAAUCAAUAUUCGUUAACUAUGUGUACACUCCACUAAAGACUUACAACUGAACUCUUCUCACUGUAAAUAUAUUUUUGUGUCCACGAAUAUAGACCAAUAAUAAUAAGUUAAUCUUUCACGAGUGUUCGUAACACCAGCUGAACCAAUUUACCGUUUUACCCAGGUUACGUAUAUACUCAUUGAUUCAUUAAUGGGUUUUGGCCCUUAAGGCACCCAAGUUUUGGGAGGGGGAGAUAGACAAAUGUAGAUAUGCCCAUAUUUUCACACACCUGGCGAGGAGAGGAAUAAAAUAAUAAUAUAUAUUUUUUCGCUAAAACAUUUUCUUUAUUAAUUGGUAUAAUCGUUUUUAUUUUCUAAAUUAAUUGAUAUAAUCGUUUUGGUUUUCUAAAUUAAUUACACAUUAAACUUGAAACAGUUGUUUGUGAUAGUUGGUUGCCUCUGCCUCGCCAUUUCUAUAUAUACCAUCCUAUUUUUCACCUUUAAGAUACAAAGAAAAAUCUUCUAAUUCCAUACUCUCCCUAAAAAUCACUUUAGUGUCCUCUUGAGUGUUUGUGAAUUCCAAUUGAUUUUGGUGCAAAAUCAAGACCGAAACUAUUUUAUCUUGGAGACGACUAGACUAUCAAACUAUUUGCACAAAAAGAGCAGAGUAGUGAAACGUCUUAAAGAGAACGUGAUGCGCAACUCAACCGUCUACUAAUCUAUUUUCUGUUUGACCAAACGAUUUAACCAGUGUACUGAUCAGAACACAAGAUUAUUUGGUGAACUAACCAGAAAAGAUAACAUACCUUACGUGAGAUAUAAGAUGAAGUACAACAACGCAUGACGUAGGCAGCCACAACAAUUUAUUUAUCAAACCAUAUGGCGCAACCACACCUCAGGAUUUCACUUCUUAUGCUAUUUCUCGGGGUGAACUUUAUCAUUAUUUAGUUCUCAUCCUAAUUCUUUUUCAUUUGUUUCCAUUUAGUUUCUUGAGUUCUUAAACUUUCUACUUCAUCUAGUCACUAAACCUUUUUUUCUCUUCUCAGGAUGAGGAACUUUAAUAAAAAUAUGAUAUAUAAAAUAUAAAACGAUUUAAACCGAACCAAUUCGGCUUGAACUGGAUCAGGUUGGUUCGGUUUUAAAAUUGGAACCGAGGACCGUUCACAUAUAGUGUCAACCGAGCGGUUUGGUCCAUGAACCGUGCACACCCCUUGAAAUUGUAUUUUCUUUUUCUAUGUUAUAUUCUUCUUCUUCUUCUAUAAAUUGAAAAAAAGUGAUUCAACCUAGCCUCCACCUCUAGCAGCAUUUUCAUCUGUGACCCCCUUGAAAGUCGUGCAAGUCCUCGUCCACUCCGCCUUUAGUGAAACUCCAUCUCUUUUUAUGCUUCAAGUUUCUUUCAUUUUCAUUUCCAUGGCUUCAUUUUGAAUGAAGAUCAACCAUCUUUGUUCAUCGAUUAACCAAUCUUCACUUCCUCCGACCCUCAUUUUUAGUAGCAUUUUGAUGAACCAUGUCGUUUGUGAUUCAGUUCAAGCACUGGAUCUAUGACCUUCUCUCUAACUAUUUCACCUAAAACCUUGAUGGGUGUGCCUUAAAUUCUUUUUUGGUCCAUUGAAUGCCCUAGUUUCUUAGUACUACACUCUGGUUAUUUGGAUAGUUGUUUUUCUUUUGCAGUUGUUCGCCCAAAAUGGGAAAUUUUCAUUUGUCAUUGUGUUGAACGUUCAUGUUUUGUUUUUAUUGAUUGAGAUUUGCUUGUAUUUAUACGUUUUAUGCUGUUGAUUAGGCUCUGGUGAAUCGGUUUAGGGUUUUGCGAAUGAUAUUUGUUCUGGGUUUUGAGUGCUAUCUCACUAUUAUGAGAGGAAUGCAUGGUGCUUAGGAAGCUGUAUCUGAUAGUUCUAAACUUGUUUGUGUUUCUAGUCAUUUAUUAAUGUAUAUGAGUAAAGUCUUUUGCUUUCUGGGAGUAUAUGCAUCUGAAGUAGUGUUUGUUUGACUUUCUUUAUAAGAUAUGAAGACAUACAUUUUGAUAGCUUAUCCUUCAUGUUUUUUUUUUUUAAAAAAAAUUGUUUUCCUUUUGUUGUUUGAAUUUGUUUCUAGUUUCAAGAUGGUGUUUUAUUGUUAGAUUAUUGCUAUUUGCCCUAAAUUCUGUGGAUUAGUUUGUUUCUCAAGUUUUAAAUUUUCUUACAUGUAAAUAGGAUUAUCUUCUUAUGAUUAAUAUACUUUUUAAGUGAUUCUCAUUUGUAACAACUGUGACCUGGAAGUAUUGCUUGCUUUAGUAUCUCGAUUGUUGGUUAACCUAGCUUGAUAGAAAAUUGAGCCUGCUCACUGCCCGAAGAUGGAAAAACUCAUUCUCAACAUGUUAAGUUGACUCUUAUCAAAAGCUUUUGCUCUCAACUACUACUACUCUCUCUCUCUCUCAACGUAAAACAAUUUGUCUGUCUCAUUCUCGUUUGGUUUUUCUUUUGGUAAAUUACAAGUGCUAGAUGAUGAAAAAUCUUGGAACAUUGUGUCUUGAAGUUCAAGGAAUUUGAGGAAUGGUUAGCUUUUUUAGACUUUUAUUUUGAUACAAACUUUUAAAUUUUAACAGAUUCUAAUGUGCAUACAUUAUAUAAUACUCUCUUUUGGCAUUUAACAACAUCUCACAGGCAUAGAGAAAUGGUACUGGAUACUGGAAUUUAGAGCUCUCUAUAAAAUCCUUCAUAUGCUUUUGUGCCCUGAUUCUUCUUCUUGCUCUUUUGGCUAUAAAUUCUUAGGCUUUUCUUGUCUUGAUUGAUAUUAGGAACUUCAGUUUUGCCCAAUGAUGGAAAAUCAAUAUAAAUUGAAAGGUUGCAGAUGGCUUUGUUCAUCAUUAGCCUUUUCUUAUCUCCACCUCUACCAUCACCUCCUCUUUCAACUAUUCAUACAUCUAAUCGCACACACAUCACUAUCUGUAAAGGCUUUUGAUGAAUGAACACCGUUUGCUUUGUACCGCAUAUGAUUCUAUAAAAGCUAUGAGAUCUGAGGGCUUUGCUUCCGUACUGUUUUAUUCUAGGUUUUGCUGUUCUUUGGUUUGUUUAGUACUUGUUUUCUUGGAUUUGGGGCAGUUUCUCAAUGCAGUUCUUAUGAAAAUGCAGCAUAGGAAGCAGAUAAUUCCACCUGGGUCAAGUCAACUUUGUUCUAUAUUCAAACCAAACCCAACUAGUACAGUUCUUGGUUUGCUCAAACCGAGCCACUCAAAAAUAGAUUUAGGGUCCUUCAAAUUUCCAUCGCAUUUUUAACUGAAGGUGGCUAUUUGUUUGAACGCUCUAGCUCAGUUGGUUCAUCGUUGUCUUUCUUCUCACACUACGUCUUUCUCCCUCAGCUUUGUUUCUUCUUUUUCUAGGCCGUGUAUCAGAAGAUCCUCUUCCUUCUCUGACUUUUAUUUGCUGUUUGCCGGCUGUAUAAGUUUGGUUGAGUUUAGUGAAUUGGUUUGGAGUAUUAUGAAUGAUAUUUGGAUUGGGCUUUGAGCAGUUUCUCACUUUAUUAUAAGGGGGAUGCUGCUUAGGAUGAUAAAUCUGUUGCGUCUAAACUUGUUUGUGUUUCUAGUCAUUUGUUAAUGUAUAUGAUUAUGACCGUGUUCUUUCUGGGAAUAUAUGCAUCUGAAGAUGUAUUUGUUUGGUUUUUCAUUUUAAAGUAUGAAGACAUACAUUUCGAUGUCUUGUCCUUGAUUUUGUUAUUUUAAAAAAUUAAUUUUCUUUUGUUUGAUUCUAUUUCUAAUUUCUAGAUGGUGAUUCUUGGAUGAAUUUCAUGCUGUUGAGUUAGAGGUUUAUUUGUUAGAUUAUUGCUAUUUGCCUUAAAUAUUAUAGUUUAGUUUGUUUCUCCUGUUAUUUGCCCUAAGUUUUAUGGAUUUUCUUAACGUACAUGUAAAUGGAAUUUGUAUUGCUUGCUUUAGUAUCUUAAUUGUUGGUUGUCCCUGCUUAUCAGAAAAUUGAACCUGGCCAUUGCCCACUGCCCAACGAUGAAAACACUCAUUUUAGAGAUGUUACUUUGAUUCUUAUCAGUCCUUUGUCCUCAACAACCAUUCUCUCUCUCUCUCUCUCUUACCAUCAAAGAAUAUUUUGUUUCUCUUUUGUUUUUUCUUUUGGUAAAUUAUUGUAAUGGUUGCUGCUAUGUAGAGGCAGUGAUCAAAAUCAAUAUUAGCUGAGGGCAUCUUGUACAUACAUUUUGCUCUUAAAGUUGCAUUGACUUUCUUUACUGACCCCUUUUUUUCUUUUUAAAUGAGUUGUCUUUUAGGAUGGCUGUGAGAUGAUGAAAAAAAUCUUGGAACAUUAUGUUUUCAAGUUCAAGAAACUUGUGAAAUAGUUUAAUUUGUCAGACUAUCUCAUUUUGAUACAAACUUUCAAAUUUAAUCUAAUUAGAUAAAUAUUCAAAUUUUUGAACACUUACAAAAUUAGAGUCUUGAAGAAAUGACCUAUUCAUCUAAUUGUUUGUUUACACAUUACCAUGGUUGCAUCACUAUUUUAAACUUGGAAGCCUCGAUUGAGACUUAAGUGUGACUGGUAACUAUGAAUUAGCCCUUUAGUUGGAUGCUACGGUGCUUAGAUUUCAACACAUGUGGAAAUCCAUUCCAAAUCCUGGACUUCAGAUAUCUCUAUAAAAUCCUCGGUAUGCUUCUGUUUUCUGAUUCUUUCUAUUCUACUGUGAAUUCUUGGGCUUUUCCUGUCUUGGUUGAUAUCAGUAACUUUGAUUUUGCCCAAUGAUGGAAAAUCACUAUGAAGUGAACGGUUGCAGAUGGCUUUGUUUGUCAUUAGCCUUUUCUUAUCUCCACCUCCAUCCUUACUCCACUUUCGUUCAAUCCAUACAUCUAAUCUCACACACAUCACUGUUUGUAAAGGCUUUUGGUGAACAAAUGCCAUUUGCUUUAUACCGUGUAUGAUUCUAUGAAAGCUAUGAGAUCUGAGGGCUUUGCUUCUAUACUGGUUUGUUCUAGGUUUUAUUCUUCUUUCGUUUGUGUAUUGCAUGUUUUCUUGGAUUUGGGGCAGUUUCUUACUGUAAUUCGUAUGACUUUGACCGGAGGCACUUUAAUUAUUGGUAUUAUUAUUAUAUAAUUGUUUAGUAAUGCUUAGUUCUUAAACAUUCAUGGUUGAAUCACUUGUUUAGUUGAUACUUUUUAUUUGUAUUUCAAGAAUAUUACUGAUUGCUUGAAAAUACUUGCUUUGCCUUGAAAAUUGCAUCUGCCCGAUGAUGGGAUACUCUGAUUGGAGCGGUUACUGAUGAUCUUUAUUACAAGCCUUUGCCAUUAACCAACUCACACAUGAUCUCUCUGUCUCUGUCUCUCUCUGUCUCUCUCUCUGUCUCUCUCUCUCUAUUCAUAUAGCUAUCUGAUGAUCCAUCCAUUUGCUUUCUUUUUUCUUUUCUUUUUUUUUACGAGUGGUUAAUGAUGUGUAGAGGCUAGUAAUGAAAAUCAACUGUCUACUUGGCAAUGAUAAAUAAUGUUAAAGAGAUCUGAGGGCAUCUUGAAAAUGGUUAAUUUUUCAUGAAACUGCAACUGUUGUCCUUGUUAGAUUUUACAAUAGUGUAUUUGUGAAUUUUGUUUAUCAAAUAAAGACUGUUUUGAAAAGUAUUCUAAAGGACUUUGUAAUGUUGUAUUUUAAAAUGGUUCUUUUUAUUGUAUAUGUAAGCUAGUUUUGACACUUACAGAUGUCAAAAAGAAUAAAGUGGUACUUUUUAUUUGAAUGUAUAGAUGUUAAAUUUUAGAAUGAUGACCAUGAUUUAUAUUGAAAAUGAUAAAAGAGAGUUUCAUUAUAUUAUUUUAAAGUUUACGUGCUAACGUGCUAAAAAUAAUACUUGAAUGUUCACGAUAACAUUAUUUACAUUAUUUGUAGUUAAUGUUUUGAUUGUACAUGGACAAAGUUUAUCCACAAGUUUCCUCCAAAAAAAAAUUAGCCUUGCCCGAUGAUGGAAAAACUCAUGCUGUGGAGCAACUGCAUUGUUUUCUAAUACUAGCUUUUGCCCUCAACCACAACCAUCUCUCUCUCUCUCUCUUUCUCUCUGCAAACAAACAUACAUACAUAUAUAUAUAUAUACACACAUAUUUAACCCCUUUCCAUUUCCAAUCUUUUCUUUUAUUGUGGUUAAAGAUGAGUAGAGGCUAGUAUGUGAAUCCAAUGUAGACAUUGUGACAAUGAGGAACCAAGCUAUAAGAGAUCUGAGGGCAUUGUGCAAAAUUGUCAUCAUUUUUCCACCACAAGGAUGCACGUGAAUUUUGAUUCUAUUUUCACCUUGAAGUAAUCAAUUUUAGUUUUGGAUUAGUGUUUGCUUUAAAUGUUAUACUAACUGUACAGGCAGUUACUUGCUUAGUGCUUCUUGGUGAUGGUAAAGUAUAUUGAUUGCAAGUAUCACUUGAUUCGAGAGAUAGUGCAUCGAGGGAACAUGAUCAUCACACAAAUAGCUUCGGCAUACAACGUUGUUGAUCCGUUUACAAAGUCCUUCACAGCUAAGGUGUUUGAGGGUCAUCUAAAGAGUUUGGGUCUACCUGACAUGCCACAUUUAAUCUAGGGCAAGUGGGAGAUUUAAUGUGUGCGUAUUGUAUGCCCUAUUCUUGUUUUGUGUACUAUUAUAGUGUUUUAACUAUUAUGUUGUACACCUCACUAACUUUAGGAUAAGUGGGAUAUUGUUUGGGUUGAUGCCCUAAAUCCUGUGGUCUUAUAGUUCGUAAUCAUGUAUAUUAUACAAAUAUUUUAGUUAUCUAAUAAAAUAAAUUGUUUUAUUUUAUUUGACAUUUAGUUAAUUAACCUACAAAACAAAUAAACUAACAUCUAAGGUUAUUUUUUGUAGCCUAAGCAUGUAUAUGGAGACAUACAAGUUGAUCAUGUUUGAAUGAUAACCUUGUUACAAUUGUUCUAAAAUGCUACAAAUGAUUUGAUCAUAAUCAUUCACGUCGAAACAUUAGAGCAAGGGUAUUCUAUACAAAGGGUUUGUAUAAGACCAAACCAUAAAAUGAAGUCUCUCUUAUUAACACUGUUACUAGUUGAUACUACAUUUCACCAAGAUGACUAUAAAUGAUUUGACAUGAAUUCUGAGUGAGUUGUAAACAUCUACCUAUGAAGGGAGUCCUUUGAUUUGCGCAUGGGUGAGAGUGGCCUAUGUUGCAGACUCAAUAGGUCUACAAUUUUGGGGAUUUGUUUGACUAGGGAGCUAGAAACGCAACUACUCGUUAAAUACCUAAAACAUGAAACUGUCUAAUCAUUAGUCCUAUAUAUCAUUGAUCCCUAUCAAACCCUAAACUUAAUUACUCCAUGAAUAAGUUAUGAAAAAUCAUCCAUCUAUUUUAUUUGAAAACUAUGUUUAAACUACGUACGAAAUGCUACCAUAACUGCAAGAUUGUCAGAACAAACAAACAAACCAAAUACUAUGUCUACUUGCAAAACCAAAACAUAAUUCAUACAUUUGAAUUUCAUAAAACACUCAAUUUUAUUCAUACAUUUGUUUUAUUUACAUUAAUCAAACACUCAAUCUAGAACAAACUAACCUUAUACAUUAACAAACUUACAAUAAAUAUUUAUAUAUUAACAAACUAAUCUUAUAAAUUAACAAACUUACAAUAGAUAUUUGUACAUUUAUUUAUUUAUACAUUAUUUAUUAAUUCAUGUAUACAUUAACAAACUUACAAUUAAAUUAAUAAGGAAUACACUCCUCUAUAGAUAAAGUAAGUAGAGAAAUUGCUCUCUUAAAGGUUGCUUCCAAGGCUCGAACAAUAUGGCGCCACACCCUUUCUUAGGGCGAGAAGAGUUCAGUUAUAGCGAGUCUAUAUUUAUUGUUCGUUAGAAGAAUCGGUGGUACUUAAGGAGUUAGAUGUACAUAUAGGGGCAAAAAGGUAAUUUUUGGCCUAAUUGUACUUACGAGCAAUUGGUGAAGGGUCAUUGUAGUUUUGAUUGGUUAUAUCUAAUGGACAAGAGUACACCUAGUGGUCUUAUGACUGUUAGUUAAUGAAUAUGGAUUAAUUUAAUUAAAGAGUUUAAUUAAUUAAUCUCACAUCAUUUGAGCUUCAAUUUAUAGGUCCAUAAGAUUCUCUUGUUGGCUCAAUAAAAAUAAAUGAAAAUCAAAUUUAUUUUGGUUUAAAUUGAAUUGUGCAAAUUGAUUAAAGAGAAUAAAUUGUAUAUGAUACAAUUAAUAUAAUAUAUUUGAUCCAUUAUAAUAUAAAGUUUUUAUGAGAGAAGUUAAUAUUUGAAUAUGAUUCAAAUAAUAGUAAUAAUAUGAAUAAGAUUCAUAAAUAAACUAUAGACUAAAACUAAUAUGAAUUCGAUUCAUAUUAAAACUAUAUAUCAUAUGAGAAAAUUUAAACCAUUGUUUAUAUUAUUAUGACAUAAUAUAAAGUUAAUAUUAUAUGAGAUAUAAUAUAGUUUAAAUUUAUAUUGUUCGGUAACUUUCCCUCCAUCUCUCUUAAGAUAUAUGGUUGAGAUACAAAUUUUAACAAGCUUGGUGGAGUGCUAUCUCUUUGUUCCAAAUAGAAAUCUCUCUAAAAGAAUUUUCCUUUAACAAAACCAAAAAUCACAUAAGCCCAUAAGGUGUGAUUUUAUCUUUGACGAUAACAAGAAAGACUUCUUAGUAUUUUUUAGGAGGUUCAAGAAUUAAUGUGAGUUUUAUUUUCUUUUUUUUUUUCUCUGGACAAGCAUGUUCAAAUAUUUUCUCUGAAUUUUAUAUGUGUUUUAAGUUGAAUUUCUUUUACAGACGUUCACACGCUUUUGCUAUAGGAAUGGAGCCAGUAACUACGAGGCAUGUGUUUCAAAUUCGUUUAUCAUGUUUGAUUGGCUAUUUGUAUUAAAAACACACCCCAAGAUUAAGAAGUUUUUGUUUUUAUACUUAAUAAAAAAAAUUGAUUUAAGAUUAAAAUACUAUUUUGGUUCUACUCUCAAAUUUAAUUUGUUGGAUGGGUUGAGAUUAACUUUUAUUGAAAUUUAUGAAAGAAUCUUAGUAAUUUUUAUGUAAAGAAAUGCUAAUAAAAAUUAUUAGAGUUAAAAGUUCAUUUUUCAAACUUUAAUUGAAAUGAAUGGCGAAGAUUAAGUCUCAGGCUAAAACGCAGCGUUUUAACCCGUCUUCGACCUACGUACUACGUAGCCUCCAUUCUCUUGAGCUCUCUCAUUCCGCCGCCGCCAACUCCUCUGCUUUCUUCCUUCUUCCUUCUUCUCCUCUUUCAGGUCAGUUCUCUCCAAACCCUAAUUCUCAACCUCGAUACCCCACCACCUACUUUCAAUUUCUGAAUUCGUACUAGAAAACCAUUACCUUCCCUCUUCGAAUUUCCUGAAAUAUUCCUUUUCCCUAAGUUCUUGAUUGUUUGUUUGUUUGUCUGUCUGUUUGUUUUAGUUCAAUGGGGGCUAAGGCGAGGAAAGCUAUGAAGAAGAAACUCAAUAAGGCUACUCCUCUUUCAUCCGACAAGAAGGAAUCUGCCGAUUUCUUGGUAUGCUUCAAUCUCUUCGACUCUGAUUUUUUUUUUUUUAUUUGUUUUAUGGUUAUUCUAUCCCUUUAACUCUCUUGGGAUUUAUGUAUUUAUUCCUCUCUUGCCUCUGAUUUUUUUUCUUCAGCCGUUGGAGGGUGGUCCUGGGCGUAAGUUAUCGGUACAGAAGCCAUUGGAAAGUACUGCUACUGUUCUUUACAUUGGCCGCAUACCCCAUGGUUUCUUCGAGAAGGAGAUGGAAGGUUUGAUCGAAUACCCUAAACCCACAUCUUACAUUCAAUGAAAUUUGAAGUUCAAGUUUCUUGUUAUCUUCUCUGCUAUUUCUUAACCCUUAUUGUUUUCUACAGGGUUUUUCGGACAGUUUGGGAAAGUAAAAAGAUUAAGAAUUGCACGAAAUAAAAAGGUAAGGCUGGCUGAAUCUGCGAAGCUUUUUUCUUCCAAAAAGAAUUUAUGUUCGCAGGAGAAUGUUGCAUUGCAAUAAAUUACUAGAUUUUUCUGAUAACCAAAACUGUCACCAGUAGUGGUACUUUCUUUCUAAUUAUUUGUGUGCAUGGUUUGAUUUAUGAUUUUGUUGUUACGUGUAGACGGGGAAGUCGAAGCAUUUUGGCUACGUUGAAUUUGAAUCUCCAGAGGUGUUAUAUUUUAGGACUUUUGUAUUUGUAAAUUUCUGAAUGUUAGUUAUUCAUCUUAAUCACUUUAAGUUUGCCCCAAAAUUGAAUUUCGUGAGCACAGGUAGCAAAAAUUGUAGCUGAUUCCAUGCAUAACUAUUUGUUGUAUGAACACAUUCUGAAAGUCCAUCUAAUUGAUCCCGAGCAUGUUCACCCCAAACUGUAAGUAAUCAUUUGCACUCCCGUGCUACAUUUUUGCUUUAACUACCCAUGUUGGGAGAUGGUUGUUGAAUAUUUCAAAGAAUGUUGCUUCUUUUGUCUCAUUUAAAUGUUGGCAUUUUUGCAGAUGGAAAGGUUUUAACUAUCGCCAUAGGCCCUUAAACUGGUCUGAACUUGAGCGUAAGCAUCAUAACAAGGUAUUAAGCUUGAUCUUUAUCUUGUAGACCAUACAAACCUAUAUGUCUACUUACUUUGUUCCAUGAUAAUUUUCAGGAAAGGACAUUGGAGGAACACAAGAAGUUGGUGGAUAGAAUAUUGAAGCGGGAUCAGGCUAGACAGAAGAGGAUAAGGGCUGCUGGGAUUGAUUAUGAGUGUCCAGAAAUUGUAAGAAGAUUUUUAUUUUAUAGUUUUAAGCAAUUCUUUUUCCCGGAAGAUUGUUAAAUUUUAACUGUUUAUUUAAAACAUGAGAGCUGUUUAUUUACCAGUCAUUGAUAUCUGCUAGUUAGUAUUUUUCGUUUAUUGAAACUAUGGUGUAAAAAUGAAGGACAGCACGGACCUAGGAAUAAUCAAAACAAACCCACAAAAAGAGUUCAAUUAUAAGGGUUCCAACUAAUACAAAAUAGAUCUCAUAGAAUUGUUAUGAAAGGUCUUUGAAACUGAAUCCUUGAGGAAAACAUGAAAUCCAACAAGAGAUCAUACUUCUCUAGGUCUCUUUACUACAACACUCUAAACACUUGAUUAUUCUGCUCACCCCAUAGAUCACAUAAUCACACACACAGUCAGCCAAAGAAAAAGACCCUUGUCACGAAAGGGUGAAUGGAGGAGAAACUUCAUGAUCAUAUCACUAAUAUUCCUGUGAUGAGCAAGUACGAAACCAAACAUUUGUACGAAGUCACUCCAAACAGCUCUUGCAAACUAACAACUCUGAGAAUAUGUGAUCAAUGACUUCCUUUUGCCUCCUAAUUUCUACUUAUUAUUGGAGUUCUAAUAUUAAUAUAGAUGGUGAGUUCAUUCCUUAGUUUGAUUGGUUGAUUUCUGUUUUUGGGAUCAAACUCAAUUUCGAUGCCGAAUACAACUCUGGUUUUUGAUAUGAUCGUCUAAAAACCAGAUAUUUUGUUGAGAAAACAAAAGGCCCACAAAAAGGAUCCAAACAAAACUGAACUCAACAAAAAGCGUUAAAUGCCUCCAACCCAAAAGUAUAAGGUUAGGAGGAUGAUGUGAAAGACCUCAAGUAUAGACAUCGAAAAAGAGGAGCAUUAAAUCCAUACAGGGAGUAUUCCUGAAAGCUCUCAAUGGUAUCCUAACUACACAUUUUCAUUAUCUCUAUAUGGCUGGGAACUGUGAGCCACCCCACUUGAUGAUGAAUUCUAUGUGAAAUAUCUUUCCUCUCUUUUUCUUUUUCCUUUUCUUUUUUCUUGUGUUAAAUAAAAAACUAUUUCUUCGAUUGAAUGAAAUAUCUAAAGAUGUACCAAAUGAUGGCCCAUUUGAGUAUGUGAAAUAUUAUAAUGGAAAGUCUUCUAUAGGCAAUUUCAGGAGGAUGAAAUUCAGCUAAUUCUUUUUUCUUAUUGAGUAUGCUCUUGAGUUGAAAUGCACUGCAAACCUAUAUUACAUCAAGUGCUUGUAAAUACCUUUUAAAGAACUCUAACAUCAUAUGAUGCUGCCCCCUUUUGAGAUCUGCUUGGUGGAAGUCAACUUCUAUCUUUUUGAAAUUUGAUCCCAUUAUAUGAAUUGCACUGCAGUUUUCUAAUGUCUCUUGAUAACUUGCAGGUGGGUGGUGUCCAACCAACUCCCAAGAAGAUCAAAUUCGAUGAAGAUUAGAAUGAGGGUUCGGUUCAUAGAAAGCUAUUAUAUUAUCACACCAGAGGAAGGAGGAAGCUCUUGCCUCGUUCCAGUUUCUUAUGCUGGAGGGGGGGUAACCUUCCCAAUGAUCUUGAAUCUCCUAAUUUUGAUCUGUGAAAUUUUGUGUCAAAACAUACUUUUAUUAAGCUCUUUAGUAAUAUGUAUUCCCCUUUAUAAAAAUGAAAAAAAAAGAAGUUAUAUUGAAGCUUUUAUGGCUUACAAUUCUGAUCUUCUCAAAGACAGGAAAACUGAAUGGUAAAUUUGAAAGUUCCACCAUGUCAGAUCUACAUGUAUAGUUUAUAUCAUGUUUGUUUCAGUUUCAUCUAUCUCAUUCUUAAUUAGCUUCAUAUUUAGAUGGAACAUAGUUUACAUUGGGUCCCCAACACUUAUUAUUUGAAUUGUUCCUCUGGCUGACAUGAAUGCGCCAUGUUUGGUCUUAUAGUGAACAGUGAAAUUGGUUAGGAGUUUUAAAAGUCUAUUAAAAAGAAGGUUGCUGAACAGUGAGUUUGGCUUGUGCGCUGAAAUAUUAGUUCAUAUUAGUCCUUUACAAUCAUUAAUCAUUGAGCACAAUAUUUUAUAGUUUAUGUGCUUUUGGAUUCGAGCUAUAGACUUCGUGUUUACGCAUAUGGUUAGCUCACUCGACCAUUUAUUUUUCUCCAUCAACACAUGCCAAGUAAAAAGCUUUAAUAAAAAUAGGAAACAAAUAGGAUUGGGUUUGGGAAUGUGUCUUCUAUCUCUACAUAUGGGGACCAAUGCUACUCUACAAGAGGCAUCUCCAACUAACAUUGAAUAAUGUUAGACAGUACUCGUGAAAGAACUCUAUAAAACUAUAAACGAAAUUGGCCAAAUUUUUAUUUAACAUUACUCUUUCAUCAAUCAAAUCUCAUUUUAUUCUAAAAAUUCCCUACACAUUGAAAGGAGUAUUUUGGAUUUGGUGAGCAUUAUCAUCGUAUUUUCAAGUUUAGAUUUGUUUCCUCAAUAUUCUCUUAAUAGUUGAUUGAUUCAAAUGUCACUUAACAACAAUGUGUACUCUCCCCUUUUUGGAAACAGUUUUCAAUUGAAUUUUGAAGCUUCAGUCUCUUAAACUCACAUCGCAUAUUCAAUUCCCUCACUCAAAUAUUGUUUUCCCAAAGGAAGUUGAUCUUCAAAGAAUUUGACGUGGGUUUACUUUAUUUGAUUAUAGUGUUACAUUAUAUCAAAUCAUGAAAUCGAUUGGGGUAAGUGUCAUGUUUGAACAUAUUUGUGACAAAAGGUAUGGAUUUAGUCUAAAUGUUUUUACCAUUAGGAAAUUGUGAUUUGAAAUUUUAAUCAAUACAAGUUAAAUGAGAUUCCAUAUUAAAACUUUUUUUAAAAAAUUAAUCUAACACAAAUAUGAAAAUACAAUGUAAUUGUGAGGGGAAAUAUGGAACAUACGGUUUCUCAUCACUUGCAUUUCUAUGGUUAAAGAGUACUUUCGUUUUUGAAUCGUGUGUCUAACUAUAACCAUUUACGAAGUGUUUAACUUUAGUUAGAUGACCCACCAAUUUGAGUUGAGUUGAUUAAAAUAACAGCUAACUUUCACUCUUUGAUCUAAUGUUUUCAAUGGAUUCCAUUCGUUAGUGAUCAAUUUAUGCAACACUUAUUGUUGCAUGACUUCCUUGAUGACAUGUUUUUGUGACCUACUUUGUUAAACACUUCUAGGAUCAAACUACAACAAUCAUAAUAGGCGAUCACUUUGAUGACGUCGACCUCCAACAACUAGUUUAAACAACCAACUUUGUUGAUUAUCUUCAGCGACUAACUCUAAAGAUCAAUUCAACUAAAACUUAAAAUGAUUGAUGAAAGUGUUUUUAAAUACAAAAUUUAAAUUAUCCGUUCAUAAUGUUUAAUAGUCUUCUUUUACAAUAGUUUGACAUUAAUAUAAACACUCCAAGUAUAUAAGUAAACUACUCAAAACUAGCUUCAAACACUUUGAGAAAACUUAACUAAACACAUGAAUAUUUUAACUUUAAAUGGUAUUCAUAAAAGUAAAUUUAAACCAUAAUGUUCUCAAUUUCCUAGACAAUCCAAAAAUAUCAUAAUUCAAAGAUGAUAUGUGUGUUUGAAAAAAGUUAAAUAAAACGUAUAAAGUCUUAUUCCGAUACAAAUAAACCUACGUUGAACUAAAUAAUCAAAAGCCAAAACACAUUUUGAAGGCUUUUUAACACAAAAUUAGAUAUUAAAAAUACUUACGAAUAUGAAUAGAAACUGUACUCACUCACUCAACAUUAAAAACAAAUGGGGUCAUGAUUGAGUUGGAAAAAUUGGAGUAAGUUGAUGUGUACUUAAAUGCAAAAGCAAAAUGGGCUCCCAAAGAUUGGUCUAAAAAGUAGUUUUUUCAACCAAUAAAUAAAUAAGUGGCCAAGUUUUGCCUCCCAAUUAGAUUGCAGCUUUCUUUCAUUUUCAUCUUUAUUGAACUUCAAAGUCACAAACUCUUUCACAUUUCUCACCCUGUACUCUUACCCUCAAGUCACUUACGAGUUCAUCAUAUGAAUGUUGGUAAUAGCAUAUAAUAUAGAAGUGAUUCUCAUUGUCCAUAUAGAAUUUGUUUAUUUAAUGGACACCUAGAAUCUAUGAAACUGCUAAUUAGUUGUUACACUUAAACUCCAUCGUCCAAAACGAUCACCAACAAUAUUUAAUCUGUCCAAAGAUUAACUCUUUGACCUCGUACCGCUACUACUAGGAUCUCCAUAUGGGUCAUCUGAACUCCCUCAUUCCUCUAAGUAUUCUCUAUCUAUAGCCCUCACAUUCAUAUCUCAAUAAAUUUAUUCAUGAUCUCAGUCAUUCUAAAAAAAAUUAGGUAAUUUUGAUUGUUAGAUAUUUUAGUUUUGAAAGAGUAAAAUCAUUAAUAAUUAAACAAUAUUGGUGAUUCCUCCAGUUCAGAUUGUCCCUUGCAAAUGGAUAGAGAAUUUAAUUUUCUCAACUUCCCUCCCACUCCUUCCUUAAUUCCAACUCCACUCUUCCAUGUUAUUCUUUAUAUAAAAACAAAUACCUUUUAUGUAAAACAAAAUAUAAUAAUCGACUAACUUUUAUAAGUGUGUAGCAAAAAAAUUUCAUAUAGAUAUCUAUUUAUUAGUAACUGUGACUCAAGUAAUAGAUGUCUAUUUAAGUUUAGUUAUACGGUGAGACUUAUCGCAAAUAAAAAGUAAUAGAAGAAUAUAUGUUCGUGUUUUUAUUUUAAAUUGUUAUAAAAAAAAUGUCAUUUUUAAGGGGUGUGUGAUUGAAAAAAUUAAGGAGGAUUGGAAGAGUGGAGUAAAUUUGAUAGAUCUUUCAACUAAACAUUUAGACGAUGCGUUGUGCAACUAGGAAGAGAGAAAUCGAAUGAGCUAGACUAUUUACUAUAUUAUUUCAAAGUAUACGAAUGAACAAAUACGUCUUCUUGAAACGGAUGGUGUCUUCAAACACGAGCUAGAUUUCACCAAUGUAAAACAUGACUCAACCAUAGUUUGACAUGUAUCCAAAUUCUUGCAUUUACCUCACUUUUUGUUAUUGAAAUUAAUUAUAAUAGGAAGACAUUAAUUCAAUUCACCAUAUUAGUUUCCCAACAAUAUAAUUAAAUCCUCACACACUUAAAUUUCAAAUAAAUUAAUUCAAAAAGUUACAACCCUACAAUUUAUUAGUGCUCUCUUAAUAUUAACUAUUCCUAAUUUGCUCUUAAUUAAUCCCAAUGUAAUUGCAACAAUUUAAAAGAAAAUAAUAAUUUAAAUUGGAUAAUUUUUUUUUUUUUAUUUCUAUCAAAACUUUAAUUUCAUUAUUAUUUGGAAAGCUUUUUUACUUUAUAAAUAAUCUUCCAAACUUUCCUCUACCAUUUAAUUUAUAAUUCAACUUUCCCAUUAUUAAAUCACAAUGUUUAUUAUUAUUCCAUUCUAUUUUUUCUUUACAAAACCAUUAUUUCUUAUACUUUAAAAAGUAUAUUUGACUUUUUUACACUAAAUUCCAAAUCCAUCAUCAAUUCAUUAUCAACAACCUAUUAUUAGAUCAUACAUUUAUGAACUUCUCAACUUAAUUGUUGCACCUUAUUUAUUGGUCUAUCCAACUACUUUUUAUGUGCUUUCAUUUCUACACAAAUUAAAUUGAUUCUAACAUCUUUUAAUUCAUUCUUAAUUAAAGAUUUCUUUUUAAUCUUAAUAAAUGUUUAAUUUUACAACUUUUAAGUUUCUAAAUUCUCCUACAAACACCUAUAUCUGUUGUAUUAUGUUUAUUUUAAUUGUCAUGUGUAAUUAAUCAAAUGACAUUUUCAUAUCUCCCAACAUAUUAGUAACAUAUAACAAUUGCAUAAGAUUUAAUUAAUUUUUUUAACAAUAAUACUUUUAGUAUGAUCUAAUCAAUUAAUUUUAGAAUUUUAAAGAAAUGUGGGUUAAUAAUAAAAAAUUAGGUUAAAUUAACUUUAAUUUGUAACGAUUUAGUUCUAAAACUUUCAAUUUUGUAACUAUUUAGUUCUUAAAUUUUACUAUAUAAUUAAAAAUUUAGCUCAUAAUUAUACUUAAUUUGCAACAAUUAAUUAGUCCUUGAUAUAGAAUUUGAGUGUGUGAAAAUUAACUGAAAUUUUGUCCAUAAAUAAAUCAAUAGACUACACAUAGACCCAAUAAUUUUAUAAAAUACAAUGCCUACAUCAUAAAAUACUAAAAAUUGACAUUAAAAUUUAAAAAGUUUUAUUUACGUAUAUUUGACUACACUAAAUUGUUACAAAUCUAAAAGUAUAAAGUUGAUAUUAUAUCAAGCAAAAACUCAUAAACAAAAAAACCGAAACUAAAUGGUUAUAAAUCAAAAUGAAAAAAAUUAUAAAAUUUGAUUAGGAGGAAAAUAAAAUAAUAAUAAAAAGAAAAGAGAGAGAGAGAAGGGAAUUAGGUUAAAAACGCGGUGAGUUAUAAUUAUGAGUGAUAAUAUCACAAGUUCCGUUCCCCUCCACCAAUGCAAUUGCAUGCAUUCCAUGCAUUUCCCACCUCCUUUUUCCUUUACAACUUUAUUUAUUGCACCCCAACCCAUCCCAACCCCUCUCUCCCCUUUACUUUUCUUCUCUCCUUUUUCUUUUCAACUUAUCUAUUUCAUCCAUACCUUUUAUCUCAAUACUUUAUAUAUUGAGUUUCAUUUCAAUAGUUGAUUGAAAGAUCUCUCUCCUAAAUUAUAUAUUUCUCACAAUUAUGUGUCCCACAUAUAUGUUUAUUUUAAAUUAAUAUUAUGGUUAACAAUUUUAGGACUAAUUCAUUCCAAUAAUUUAUCAAUUACUCUUUUAGGAUUUUAUUAAUUUAUAAUAAAAUUGUGUAUCAAUUUCAAUCAACCUGCAAAAUAGCUACUAUUUUUUAGACUUUAAGGGAUAUUAAUUUACAAUACAAUACUUCUUUUAAGAUAUAGGAUAGGAUUUUUUUGUA
This 51171-nucleotide long non-coding RNA is filed under the name Cucumis sativus (cucumber). Its description in RNAcentral is "long non-coding RNA (CSAT_LNC002201)". Lineage: Eukaryota; Viridiplantae; Streptophyta; Magnoliopsida; Cucurbitales; Cucurbitaceae. The record is from RNAcentral.